Molecule: long non-coding RNA, 68553 nt
Filed under: Linum usitatissimum (flax)
Lineage: Eukaryota; Viridiplantae; Streptophyta; Magnoliopsida; Malpighiales; Linaceae
Description: long non-coding RNA (LUSI_LNC005077)
Source: RNAcentral
GCGUUGAUCCUAGCUUGCGUUGUAUGCUUCUUUUUUCUGCAAUCAAGGAUUAGCUCUCUGUUCGUUCUAAAAGUUCAAAUGUUGAAGCAGUGUUUUUUGAAUGUGCUUCACUUUUGGUUUGCAGGUGAUGUAUGAUGCUACUGGUGUAAGGUUACAGGCUGGCCGGCAAGCAGAGGUUCAAAACACUGAUCUAAUCCAUCGUUGCAAUUGACUGUUCACUUUUUUUUCUGUAGAGGUUAUUGAAUAGGGUUUUGUUUCUGCAGGUGUUGAAUCAAAUUGUGUAUGAACUCCCUGCUGAACAUCCUUUGGCCGAAAGCAGACCUCUUCGUGAACUCCUUGGUCACACUCCUGCUCAGGUACAUAUGCCAUAGGUUGCAUUAGACUUAUAUGCUUAUGUUGUUAAGUUUGAGCUGAGAAUGUGCAUUCAAUGAUUAGAGCUCUCUGAAGUCAUAUGUUGAUUAUGUUGUUAAUUGUUAUGUUUGAGUUGAGAAUAUGAGCUAGACUUGCAGGACUCUCUGAAAUCAAUCUCGUACUUCCGACUGCGACUUCACGAGCAACCUCAUAGCAUAGUUUUUUUUAUUCGAUUGGAUCCUGUGAUGUAGGGCCAUCACGGGAAGUUUUCAUAGAGUAUAUAUAUAUCAUAUGUUGCAUUAUAUGCUUAUGUUGUUAUUGUUUGAUAUAAAGGAAUGUGAGAUUGUGAAGUAACAGUAAUGAACAAAUAUCGAUUCUAUGAUCUAGCCAUCAUCGAAACCAACCUUAUAACAUCAUCUUUCGAUCGAUUGUAUGCGUUCAUAGGUUAUUGCGGGUAGCUUGCUUGGAGUUGUGACAGCUAUCAUUGGCCAUCUGAUCACAAUGGCAACUAGUCGCAGCUGAAGAGUCUUCGUGUCGACGCCAUCAAACGGCUAAAAGCUCGGCGAGUCGGCUCGACGAGGGCAUGUGACCAUAGAAUUGCAGUGUGUUUCAACUGAUGCCAUUUUCUGGGUUUUUAGGAGACUCACCUGAUCAUAAGUAUAUACAUUCCUUCAAAAAAAGUGUUUCUAUUCUUUCAUACAUGUGAUUUGUUCACAGUACUGUCCUCAGUCAAAUGUAAUUAUAGACAUCAAAAUCUGACAGAUCAUCUCUAGCAAGUUUAUGAUGAAAAAUUACAGGCUUUUAGGCUACAUGCUGUUCUUUUGUUGUGUUUGAAGGUUGCUGUUCUUUUAGGGUCCCAACUGAUUCGUAAGUGGAAUUGAUCAAAAAUCAACAACCCAAUCAGUUGCUCAUUUAAAAAAAUCACAAAAAAGCAGCAAUCCAAAUGAUUAGUGAUCCAAUUUGUGACCCAGUUGAACUACAACCUUAUUGUUAGUAACACGUAACCAAAUUAAUCUAAUUCGUAACACGCUUGAUCUGCCCCGACAACUCCACCAUUGUAUCUUAUAUUAAAUGGACCCGAGUAAUAUAAAAAACCAAAUUUUAUGAGGUGAGGAUACUUUCUUUUUGUUCUCACCCGUAAGAAUACUUUAAAACUGUUAGAUUUUUUAUUGAUUAUUUAAAAGUUUACAUUAGUCUUUAAUUUAGUCUUGAAUGGAACAAAAGAAAAACUGUAUGUCAACUAUUAAUAUUUUAGUCUUGAAGUAUGUAAGCGGUAUUAGAUGGUACAGUAUCAAGUGGCAUCCGCCCCGCAGGCAUCAUGAAAUGUAAUGUGGGUGUGACCCGCUUUGAGACGAAUAAUAUCACGGGGAACCGCAUGUCGAUUCUCAACUCGGGAGGCUCUCUUGUGCAAUUUCGAAUGAAAAUGUGGAUGGGGUUGUACGAUGUGAAAGUUGGGGAGGCCACGACUCUUUUGGAGGGAAUCAGGUGGGUGAUCGACAUAGAGCUCCAAUCGGUCGUUUUCGAAAGUGAUUCUCAGAUGGUGAUGUAAGCGAUCGAUGGCAAUUAUGAAGAUCUUACCGAGUUUGGUGCUUUAGUUUUUAUGUGUUGUUGUCUUUUACGUUCCUAAGAAGAUUUUAGUUUUUGUUUUGUUAGGAGAGAAAGGAACGAAAUUGACUACACGUUAGUGAGACAAUCCCUGAUCUAUACGUCCUGUUUGUGGGUGUUAUAUCUCUUGUCUGCCCCAGUCCAAUGUUAUAUCUUACUUGUUCUUUGACAGGUCAUUAAUGAAAAAGUAAUAAUAAUUUAUGCGUCAAAAAAACAUUACCAUAAAUUAUUAAUGCUAAAAGAGGUAAUUGUCUUGUCAUUUUAUUAAUGCUGAAAGUCUAAAAUUUGAAAACAAGCUUACAUUGUUUGAGCGGUAUAAGCCUAGAUAAGAGGUGUAUUUCCGACAUGGGGUUUACAAGGAGUCGCAGUCUUCCGUGGAUAAAUGAAUAACUCAUUUUCGAACUUUCCUGACCAAUUAAUUCUAAGCGAACAAAAAAAGCCUAGACUCGAACAAACAAAAACUCAAACACUAACAAAGAACAAAAGACUAACUGAAUCGGCUCGACAACAAGAUCGAACCAAUACGACAAACACACAAGAGACCUAGAAAACAAGAAAAAAAAUACUAAAUAGCCACUAACACAUACUCUUAAGCCUAUCUAUAAAUAUUUAAGACAGACUCUUGACAAAAAAUAUAUGAAAAACACAAAAAAUGCAAACCGAAUCGUACCAUUAAAACAAAAGGAGAUACGUAAAAGUAGCAAUGGUCUUCAUCCAUUGUCUGUACAAGGUGACCCGCCUCCACAAUGCCAAAACUAUUUAUGUCGAUGGGCAGGACUCCGAAGGUUUGCCAACUCCUACAUUGUUUCCAGCACCCUCGUAAUUCCCCUCCCCCUCCCAAUUCUCAAUUUGUUUUUCAAUUGAUUGAUAAAAAUCUUAUUUUUAUUGGAGGUUUAGGGCCCUACCAUUCUCCUCACUUUGAAUUACUCAGACGAUGUGCUUUUGAUCGAACAUUUGUCUCACCGGUUGGGUAAGCUUGAACCUGGAGACAUUGUUCUAGUUCGAUCCCCGGUUGAACCGGGAAAGAUUGUGGCUAAAUGGAUAGUCGCAAUGGAAGGUGAUCGCGUCACUUUCCUUACUGCCCUUCACAUUCCGGUAAGGGACAUACACAAUCAUGUCACUGCAGACUAUUAAUUGUUCCGGUUUGGGGUGAAUAGGUUGUUGUUCCAGCAAUGAUGUGCAACUUUAUUUCAACUAGAGAUUGUGGAAGUUACCAUUCUUAUUGUGUAUUGCAGGGAGAAGCUGAUAGUUCCGAAAAAAAGCUGCAGUUUUGGACAAGGUUCAUAUGCCGAUGUCUGAGUACAUAACGAGAAGUAUCGAGUUCUUGUAUUAGUACUCUGUGCUUUUUUAAAUUGUUGUGUGUUUUUAUAAAGUGUUGUGUGAAGAAAUGAAGGUAACCCUUAUUUGUAUUUGCUUAGUAGAAUCGUGGGUCUAGUUUUACGUAUACUAGGGGUCUAGCUAAAUAAUAAUAAUGAUUGACGCGUCAAAAAAAAAUACCAUAAAUAUUUAAUGACCAAUUAAUUUAAGAUUCAUGCACAAUCAUAAUUGGAGAUUGGUAAAUGAAAUAGAAAAAUCAUUAAAUAAAUUUCCUUAGUUCAAUUUACUUUAAGAAAAAUACCUUAUUUGCCUAUAAACAAUUAACGUCUAUAUAAGAAAGGUAAUCAUUUAAAUCAAAAUUUACGAAAUUGCCAUUUUUCCUUUGACUGUUUACUCCUCCAAUUUUCUCGUAUAAAUUGCAAUUGUUAUUGUUCUGGGAGUGAAUAGGUUAGACGUUCGAUUGUCUUUGCAUUGGCGAUGACCAAUUCUUACAAUACUAUUGUUAGUUUCAGAGUGAUGGCUAUUAUGUUAUUUUUUAUGGUUUUCGGUAUCGGCGUAAAUGGUAUGGUUAACAAUGAUAAUAUGAAGUUUGAUCGUGAUGGCAUAUUAAAAACCAUUGUGGUUAGUAUUUCUUUGAAUAUUAUGUCUAUAUACAAUAUACUUGAUUGGUGUUAUCUUCACCUUUUUAAAGUUAUCAUAUACUGUUUUUAUGGGUGGUUGAUGCUUAAUUGUGGCAUGGAUUUGUAACAGAGCGGAGACGAAACUAUUGAUUGUGUGGACAUCUAUAAACAACCCGCUUUCAACAAUCCGCUUUUGAAAAAUCACACUCUUCAGGUGAGCUUCAACAAAGUUGCAUAUUUGUGUUUGUGUAAUUUCAAAUAAAAUACAGUUAUGAUUUGUUUUUUCUGCAAUUGUUUAGUUGAAACCAAGUUCAUACCCGAGGGGGUCGAGAUCCAAAGUUGUGGUUAACUCAACAAAGUACAUUCAAAUGUGGCAUAAGAAUGGUGAGUAUUGCCCCAAGGGAACAAUAGCAAUGUUGAGAUCGUCAACGACGACUUGGGCAUUUAAGGAUAUCGAGGUACAUGUAGCGUUAUAGAAGAUUGAUUGAGAUUUAAAUAUAUGAAUAUUCUGAAAGUGAAAUUAUUGUUCGAUUGAUUACAGGUGGCGGGAGUGUCGUCGUCUUAUGAUUACUAUGGACUCAAUAUGGAUAUGAGCGUAUGGAGCCCACAAACACAACCAAACGAAAUGAGCUCAUCUCAAGUUUGGGUGUUCGGUGGGGACGGCCUCAUAGUGCAGUCGUUUCAAGCUGGUUGGAUGGUAAUUAUUGGUAAUUAAACAGCUUUAUUUUUUGGUCGUUCAAAUAAUAAUAAUAAUAAAUAUCAGGUAACGCCAUUGAAGCCAAAACCCACCAUCUUCGCAUAUUGGACCGUAAGUGCAUAUGAAAUAAGAAUAUAUGGUUGUAGCUAGCUAGGUGUGCACAAUUAUAUUAUUAAUUAGUUAUAUAUAUGGAUCUCUUCUAUAGAGGGAUGCAACCGAAGUAUCUGGAUGCUACAAUCUAGACUGUCCUGGUUUUGUUCAAACAAGUUCUACCAUUGUCCUCGGUUCUCAACUAAACCCAGUUUCCAUCUAUGGCGGCCAACAAUUUUUUAUCAACCUCAAAAUUCACAAAGUAAGAAAUUUAAAUUCCCAAUUAUAUAUAUUGAGAUUGUGCAUGCAUGCAAACUCUCUUCAUAAAACUCAUUCAUCACAGGAUUUUAAAACGGGCAACUGGUGGCUAAACAUCCAAGGAACGGAUAUAGGGUACUGGCCGGGAGAUUUAUUGCCGAGCAUGAAGAUAUCAGCAACUGUGAUGGUGUGGGGAGGUAAAGUUAGCAAUACGAAGCCGAAAGGGGUUCACACAAGGACUCAGAUGGGGAGCGGCCAUUUCCCGAGCGAAGGGUUCGGAAAGGCGGCCUGGUUCAAGAACUUAGAAUAUGUGGACGACAAAGGAUCGUUCCAGGAUGUCCGCUUUAUUCAAACAACAGCUUCGGAUGAAAAUUGUUACGACGCACAAGUGCAGGAUUGGGAUCAGAAUUUUGGUACUCAUUUCCUCUACGGUGGUCCUGGCUAUUCCUCUAUUUGCCAGAACUAGCUUGCUAGUAGUCGUUUUGAUGCAUAUGCAUUGUCUGACAAUCAUUAUCCUAAUUCACCAUGCCAACCGAAAUAAAGAUGAUUGGAAGUCCUGAGCAAAAUUUUAGAGUUUGGAAUGAAUUUUAAAACAUACUAGUGCUCCCUAAUGUUGAAGCGGUUAAAGUUCUUAAUCCACUGGUGACGAGAAAUGAUAAUUACCAGAAGUCUUUUCCACCAUUUUCGACAAAUCCCAAUACCUCGCGCGCACUUUUACUCCACUGCUCGUGAGUUUCACCUCUCCUUUGAGUGCUCAAUUGAGAGGAUAGCUGUGAUUACCUUCUGACGCCAGGGAUGUGAAAGACGUGCCGUCCGUUGUACCAGUUUCGUAUGCGCCUCGUGUGGCGCCCUUGCCGGAGGAUAAGGUUGAAGGUGAAGUGCAAGAGAGUGCAAAGGACGGCGAGGACAUGAAGACCGAGGUUCGCCGGGUUGAAACGGAGAAUAGGGCUAUGAGAAGGAUUUUGAGGAUGGAGGAACAAACAGAGCAGGCUGUUGUGCCUUUUCCUAGAUUGAUGGUACCGGAGAAGAAGAAAGAGAAGAGGCCACUUCCGGAAUUGAUGGACGCCAUUCGCCAAGUCAAGGUUACUGUCUGUUUGGUUACAUGUAAAAUGGAUGAUGUUAUUAUAUAGUUUGUUUUCGGAUUCUAAUUUUUGGUUGGACUGUUUCUUUCAACUGGUCAGGGUGACGCCAGGACGGCCUUUGAUGAAACUAUUGAAGCGCAUGCGAGAUUGGGAAUCGAUCAAAUCUCGAUCAGACCUGGUGGGUGUUGAGUUGUUGAAUAGGUAGAUUGCUCUGUUGGAAAUUAAGUUCCCCGGCCUAUAUAUUAAGCUUUGCUUUCCUCACAAGUGAAGUUCUUAAGUAGCUUGGAGGUAACGAGAAGACCUUUGAGUUGACAGAGAAGAAGCUUGUUGCUGCUUCAGCUGCGGUCCCGGAUGAUAGCCAGAGCAGAAUCCUGGCUGCUCAUGAACGGUUUCUUGCUCGAAAAGGGAACAAAUGAGAGUCCGGUAUUUGUCAAAGAGUGAGCAUGUAACGAUAUGGUGUUCAGCCAUGGCAGCAGGUUAACCAUCUAGUCGGUCAAAAUUAAUGGGAAGAUGGAUGUUGUAGCUUACUUAGUAUGAAGUAUUGUGGUAUAUCGUGCAGUUUUCUUUAACUAUAAUAGUAGUCGAUGUAUUUACUCUCGACAACAUGUUGCUGGAAGAAUGCAUUUGAAAUUGUUACGAUAAAAUCAUUGGGGAUAAUGUCCAAUUCGAUUCCAUGGAAGAUAAAGGGGGCUAAGAGAUUGAUCGGAGAAACGAUCAAAUUCUGGAGAAGAAUAAGGAAGCAGAGAAUUGAUGUUGAAGCUCUGAAAGUUGUAUUCGAUUUAUUCAGCUGUUUGGGUUUUAUACCAACCUCAACGGUAACAAGAACAGUAAAAAUGAAAUUACAAACGCGGGUAAAAACACGUGUCAUUAGUUCAUACAUCAACUUGGUAAAAUGGACGGGAAAUGAAACUCUCCGUUUCAAUCAUCUUCACUUCUUCUUUCGUUGACGUUGACUAACGCUUUUCCCACUAACUCCGUUUGUUCUUCGCUGCAUUCAACAGGGGCACUAGCUAGUAAACUCGGCCAAUUUAUACGAACCUGAACGAGCUGGUAGACAAUUCAAAGCAUUUACAGUCGGGGGGAUAUAGCUCUCGUAACACGGCAACAGAAAAAAUUAAGGCGCCAUGAAAUUCGAAUUCUGCCAAUUAGUUGCUGUUUGCCGGAAGCUGAUUCAUCCUUCUUCUCCUCGCUGCCAGUUUGGUAUCCAUAAACUGUGGCCAACUGUGAUUUGUUACCCGGAGUAAGAAUUGUCGAAGGAUGAGGGAUUGAGUGAAGAAAUCUCGGGGAACCCUAACCAUGAAAUUUUUCCUGCUGCCAAACGUACCAUAGGUUUUCAGGCUGUGUUUGCUUCAGCUUUGUCUACUGUUUAGGUACCUUAGUACUGAUGGAUCCGAAAAAUUCUAUCUGACCCUGAGCUUUGUGGUUAUAAUAUUGAAUAAAUCCCAUGAGAGGAGCUUGAACACGUAAGUUCUGCAUUUGGGAAAAAAAUGGUUUGUGACCAUUUAUGUAGCUUCCACAAAAGCAAAAUCAGCUGAGAGUUACAGUUGCUAAUGACCUUUUUAGAGACAUUUUACUGCGAUUGGUAAAGCUAUUGACGAUAAUGCGUGAAUGAAAAGUAAAAGGUCUGAUCACAUCUGCAACUCCUGAUCGUCUUCUCCAGUUCUCCUCCGAUCUUACUGUGUUCUUUUGAUGAUUUCCGUCCCCUCCUCCAUUACCCUAUAUAUCAAUCCAAUGAUGAUGCUGAAACUGAAAUACAGGCCUUCUCUUUUCUUCAUUUGUUUCGUGGUCAAUUUUUACGUCGUCGGUGGCGUCAACUUCAACUAUUCGGCAUUUCGGGGGACCACCACCGACGAUUUCAUCUUACAUAAAUCGUCCCUCGGUGCUGACAUGGUGCACAUCACUGCUGACUACGAGCGCUGGGAUAUCACCAAUAAGUCGGGACGGUUGCUCUUCCACCGGCCGGUCCACCUACUCAACUUCAAGACGAGCUUCGUUUUCAGAAUUGUUCCGGUGACUCAGCUGCCAGGGGAAGGUCUGGCAUUCGUGCUUGCCGGAGACCCGAACCUUCCGGAACACAGCUCGGGUCAGUGGCAUUCAUUCCAAUAACUGAAUUCCUAUUCGAUGCCUAUGUACAAUUCGAAUGUUGGUCGCCUUAGACUAAAUAAAAAGACGUAACUUAAUCGUAAAAAAGAUUGCAUAACUUACUUUAACUACUGUCCACAUAACCCUUCCUGUACUGAUGAAGUUACCGGGUAUCAAAAGAAUUAGAUAGGAAUGAGGAUGCAAAAAGAAGGCUUUACAAUCCAACUCAUAGGUACUGUUCCUAAGCUACAGUGGCACCAUUUGGUUGGGCCCUAGCUUACGCCUUACUUUGUCUUAUUUCAUAUUUACCCAACGAUGUUGCCUCCUAUCUUACACACCUACGGCGGCUUUCUUUGUUCCCCCUUCAGUCACCUUGACGUACUGCUCCUGCUAUCUGACGAACAUGCUUCUAUGACGCUUCGGUGUUCUGUAUUAGGCCAUCAAUUCUCUAACACACCUUGACGACCUCUUUUUUCCCCAAUCGAUUUCCCUUUAAGCGCUCAAAUUUGCAGAAUCACUCCAAAUCAAAAUCACUUUCUCCAUCCCCCUGUUCACAUAGACACUGUAUGCCACAAAAUUUUCCAUGUUGCUUCUUCUACCAUACCCCCCCUGGUGACUCUAACCUUUCUUCACCAGCAAUUAUCCUCGACACCUAGGUUGUUGCAAAAAAAAAGUACGUCGAUUUCUAUUCAUCGCUCUGUUGAAUAGGUUUCCGUUGGUUGCUGCUUUCUGCUUGACGUGUACCUUUCAUAAAGACUGAAGGUUUCCGAUUGGCACUGUAUCAAGCUGCUGCGUCUAACCAGGAUUUUGAUUCUUUCUGGUGUGAUUCACACUUUUCCUUCGACGAGGAACAAACUAAGCGCUUGCAUUACUUUCUUUCUUAAUAAAAAGUUUACUGUUGUAAAUGACAUGUGGGGCAGCUGAGGGAAAAUUCGUGAGAUUUUGUAAAACCAAAGUCUCUAGAAUUCGUGCACCAGCUACAUUAUCGUUGAUUUUAUGAAUCUAUCCAGAUGAGGAAAAAGGAUUCUGCUUUGUCUUCCAAUAGUUGUUAACAGGAUAGUGGUUCAUGAAUACCAGCAACGUUGAACCUCUUUCAAUAACUCGAGUUAUUGAACGCAUUGGUGCAUGAUAUGGUAUUAUAAUCUUCCGUAGUCAAUUUAAGGGUUGGUGGUUCGAUUAGGACCUAUGUUUCACCGUUUUUGUGAAUGUGAAUUGUGACCUAAGGUUGGUUGGUUCAUUUCAAUUAGGUUUUAGAUGAUGGCAUAAUUCAUAGGAGGAACAAAUUUUUGUAAUUAUUGUUUGCAUCUGUGUCAGUGAGCUGGCGUUUUAGGGAAUCUGUCUGCAAAAUGUUUGCUGCUUUGAGGAGUUCACAGCUUGCCUUGCUUAGUGAAGGAAGUUACAGAUGACAGUUUUCUUGCUAAGCUUCCAUGUGCCUUAUUCUUGCCUGGACAUUUCAAUGUAUGUAGUUGUGCCAUAGUUCUUCGGAUGUCCUUCUGGUUACUUUAAGCAUCUCAUUUUGGCUGCCAAAAACUUAUGCCGACUCUAAAUUUGAGAUUCUAUAUGUGAAAUUUGUGUAGCUAUCCAGAUUAGAUAUUCUAUAUGUGGAAGUUGAGAAACCUAAGCUAAUUUUUAGUCAUAGCCAACUUUAUGCUGUUGUAUCAAGUAUCAACGGUCCGUUCCAGAUGGUCUGCAUUGUCUUGCAUUGUCUUACACGAAACAUUGUUUCUGAUGAAAUUCUUAGCGGCCUGCCAUAGAUUUCAAUUCAGUGGUUUAGUAGGAAAUUGGUUACUGAUCCUAACUGCUAUGCUGAUUUCUGCUUACACUAAGUAUUAUUAUUACUAUAUAAUUGCAUAAACGGGCUGUCAUGGCCAUCUGCACUUCCGCAGCGUAGCACGGACAUAUACUACCUAGUUUUAACUAAAAAGUAGAGAUACGGAAAACCCCUUAAUGAACAGUUUAGUUCCUUCGUGUUUUAUAUAAUUUUAAUGAGUUAUUGAAUAAUGUUUGAUAUUUGUUGAACAAGUUUAGUUUGGACAAGAAAUAUGUUCAAUGAUUUGAAAGCUGGAUAAUAUGUCUGUAAGUUGCUAAUGAUGCAUAUUUUGAUUGAAUAAAACUGCCAGCCAGAUUGCACUAGAUAUUUGUUGAACAAGAUUAGUUUGGACAAGAAAUAUGUUCAAUGAUUUGGAAGCUGGAUAAUCUGUACUUAAGUUGCUCAUGAUGCAUAUUUUGAUUGAAUAAACUGCCAGCCAGAUUGUUCAAUGAUUUGAAAGCUGGAUAAUCUGUACUUAAGUUGCUCAUGAUGCAUAUUGAUUGAAUAAACUGCCAGCCAGAUUGCACUAGAUCACCUACUUGAUAUAAUUUUUUUUUGGCUGCAGGUCAGUGACUCGGGAUUGUAAAUGCGAAAACGAACGGAUCAGCUAAAAUCGUGGCGGUCGAAUUCGACACGAGGAAGAGCUAUGCUGAGGAUUUAGACGACAAUCAUGUUGGGGUGAAUUUUGGGUCGGUGUACUCCGUUCACCAAGCUCCUCUGGCAGGAAUCGCGAACCUGUCGUCAGGUUCCGAUAUCACCGCCAGAAUCGAGUACGACGGAGAGAAUAUGGCUGUCUUCGUCGGAACAAGAAGCACCCCUGUAAUUAAUCGAAAACUGGAUCUGUCACUGUAUCUUCGAGACGGGGUGUAUGUCGGAUUUACCGGGUCGACCAGUCAAUAUACCGAACUGAACCUCAUCAUUUCCUGGGACUUCAGCGGAACAGAAAUCCCACAAAGAAGAAAGAGAUGGUUCAGAAUUGCUGCAUCAAUCGUAUCAGCAGUCGUGAUUCUGAUAUUUAUAUCUGGAUUAGUGUACUGGAAAAGAAGAAAUGUAGAUGACAGCGACGACUCCGACCCCAAAUUAAUCGACGAGGCGAUUCAGGCUUCGUCGGCUCCUAGAAAGUUCAAGCUGAAAGAGUUGAGGAAGGCGACGGGGAAUUUCAAUUCGAGGAACAAGGUUGGGAAAGGAGGAUUCGGUACUGUAUACAAAAGGAUCAUAAAGAAUAAGGAGAUCGCGGUGAAGAAAGUGUUGGAGAAAACGACUCAGGGGAAGCAAGAGUUCAUAUCGGAAGUCAUCACAAUUGGAAACCUUCACCAUCGGAAUCUGGUCAAGCUAAUUGGAUGGGCUUACGAGAAGAAGGAGUACCUCCUGGUUUACGAAUACUUGCCCAACGGAAGCCUGGAUAGGUUCAUUUUCCCAACAGUUAAUGGAUCGUUGAAUUUGAGCUGGGCUAUCAGGUUGCGAGUGAUUUCAGGAUUAGCUCGGGCGUUGGAGUAUCUACACACGGGCUGCGAGAAGAAAAUUCUUCACAGGGAUAUCAAGUCCAGUAAUAUAAUGCUGGACUUGAACUUCAAUGCGAAGCUCGGCGAUUUUGGCUUGGCCAGGACCUGUGUCCAGCCAAGCCAGACCCACCACUCCACCAAGGCAAUGGCGGGGACGCCCGGUUACAUCGCUCCUGAAGUCUACCUGACUGGAUGGGCAACGGAGGAGGCAGAUGUUUUUGCAUUUGGAAUCGUGGUCCUUGAAGUCGCCUGUGGGAGGAAACCAGGUAGCUGCUGGAUCGAUCAAGAUGAGAACGGGACAAAUAUUGUUAAGUGGGUUUGAGACUUCUACAAGACAAAUAAUUUGAUGAAUGCUGCUGAUGCUCGAUUGAAUGGCCAUUUCCAGGUGGAAGAGAUGGCCCGGGUGUUGAUUUUGGGGCUGACGUGCUGCAAUCCCAACCCCAAGGACAGGCCUUCGAUGAAAUUUGCCGUGCAGGUUUUGGCUGGGGAAGCUCGAGCCUGCUUUCGUGUGGCCUCCUUUGGCUUCUUCGCCUGCUUUGCCUCCGUCUCCUUCUCUCGAAAAUCAGAAUUGUGACAGUCAGCGCAGUGUGUUUUCACAACUAUCAGGUAGAUGAAUUGCACGUGGUUAGUGUUUGUAUGAAGAACAAAUAAGCGCUCUUGGAGACGAUAGAACUUUGUACCUGAAACGACACACAGAUCGACUUUCUAAUAUGAAUGUAAUUGAAAGAAAAUAAACAGAUGUACAAAGGUGCAGAAUAGCUUCUCUUCCUAGGCUGAGUUGCGUGCUUUUUGUAGACAUGAAAUUGGACUCUAAUUGGUCUCGAGCUUGUUAGUGUGUUUUCACCUCAAGUUUGUUUCUCCGAGUUUAUUGCUAUCUUUGUCUAUUAGAAGGUAAACGAAUCGCCAGUUACCAACUCGAUCCCUUUUGUAAUUUUGUGAAACGAAUGGGCUGUAGAGAUCAGUUAUCAGUGUCAAAUCAAAAGAUGGAGGCAUGAGCAGCUUUAUUUCCAAUGGAGAUUUGAACCAAAACAAAGUAAAUGCGACUUGAAAUCACUCUGGUGAUCGAGCAGUUGAUAUAAUCUGUCAUGGAGGAAAAUAAACCAAAAGAGGUAGUAUGAAGGCAUCUAAACACAUCAGCAGUUAAUAUCCACAUGCUAAACUCUGAUUUUGAUUUCAUUCAUCAAAUUGUACACAAAUUGCAGGUUAUCCAGCUGGUCAAAGUGCAAGCCAUGCCACCAUCUCCAAUUGGUGCAAUUUGACAUGAUUACAUGCCUCAUGUAGAUUUGCAACAGCUGAUCUGCACAUUGAUAUUCAUUUUGUUAGCAACCAAAUCUAUGAGUAGGAAAGAGUGAAGUUCACUUGCUAAAACAGAUCAGACAUGUACUUAUUUUUCAGGCAGGUCAUCAAGGAUUUUGUUAUAAACAAUGUUUGGCGUCCUGUCCGGUGGGGCUGCACCCUCAUUGUGCAAUGCAAGGUGAGUGAGUGCCCGAUCAAACAAUCAAAUAGCAGAUGCUAAGGGUCAGCACAAAGAUGAUGGUAAUCAGGACUCAAAUGUGCUAAACACGGCAUACCACAUAAAUAAACAAAAGAAGCAGACAAAUAACACAGACACGUCGGAGGCAUAGACUGAGCAUAUAACAUGGAUAAGAAAGUGUGAAAUCAAUUCCCUAUUGGAUUCGUCAUGCAAUCUGGGCAAACCCAAAAUACCAGUUGUGAACAAACCUGAAAUCAACCUUGUAAACAUGUUGAUGUAUUCUUUCAAGUCCUAGAUGACCAUUUCUUGCGCAAGAAAUCGUAUCUGUAUAGCAGGUAUGGAAGUUUGAGAUAAAUAGAAUACAUGAUUGUAAUCAUGAAAUUUUCCCAAUGUACCGCAAACCCUCUUCUGUGUUGAUCAUCUAACGAAAGAAGAUUCAAUCACUUUGUUGUGCAAUUUUUCUACAACAGAAAGAAAUACAUCAACAUGUACAUAAGGAAAAUUGGCUACCACUUUCAGCACUAGGUUAUUAAAACGGCAGAACAAACUUAAGAGGAAAAUGCAGAGAAUAUCCUCGAAACUAAUUAUUCGAUGAAAUCAGAUGCGUCAGAAGACAUCAAGACAUGCAAUGGAGGAAGCCCACUGAGGCCAAAGCAGCAAAAGCAAUAGUUUAAUUUCCUGCAGAAAAGUGGAAAACACUGAGUAACUAUGCUUACAUCAUCAUAAUAUUGCAGCAUUGCAGCUCCACAAUGGUACAAGCAACCAUAGAAGCUUCAAACAGGAAAGAAAAAAAACUGACCAGAAUGUUAACAAAGCUCGAAGAGCGCAAUUUACCGGCCAUCAACAGGCAAACUAACACCAUGAAUCUAUAAAAAAAACUUUACCCACCUGGAUGAUGAAGAAAGGGGGGAAAACCCCAUCAAAUUAACUGAUAAUAUAGUCAUCAAAUUAACUGAUGGACAUAUGAACUGAGCAUCAGCCGGGAGACACGGCACAACAGACACGUCAAUCUCAAAAGAACGAGUUAAGAACAUAUGAGGGAUUAAUAUUAGAUUGAUUAAGAAUUGUGUUGUAUAUGCAAUAAGAUGGAACCUACAGCGUGGCUUUGAACUAGUUCCAAGAAGCGGGCUUCGGACACUUGGGAAAUAUCUUCACAAGCAGAAAUCUGCGGAACACAGCAGGCUGAUGGACAUCAAAUUGACUGCAAGCACCACAGCAGGAUUCAAGAGACCAUUAUUAUAUUAAUCAGGUGCUUUACUAGAGCUAUAUAUAGCUAUUGGUAUUGCGAAAUAAUGAAUACAUCAAGGAAAGUGCGGAUUCUUAUGGUUCGAACGAAACCAAUACAUAACAAAAGUUUGGCUCGGAGGAGAUUUUCACAUUCCUGACCUGUCUUGAGGAUUUACUCAAUUUUCUUUUUGGUGUGAAAAUGAAUUUAAAAGCGCAAAACAUAAUCUGAAUUAGAACUUGAAUAUCCACGAUGACCGCCGCUGACGGGUCACACAUAGUCUUCGUCGAUUGAACCAAUUGAAGGGUCAGAAGUGAAUCUGUUUCCACCAACACCUGCUUGUAUCCCAAUAACUGCACCCAUGAGAGACCGUCGUCCCGCAAAGCACAAAGUUCAGCAAAGAGAAUUUGUUGGUUACCAAUCGAGCGAGCAUAGCCCCCACCCCGAAGAACACUUCCAAUUGAAGAACUCCUUCCUCGAUCGAUAAGACUACCGUCCAAGGUCGGUGGAUGGUUGGAGAGAUAGUUUCCAAAUCUAAUGGUUCCCACUCGGUUUUUUUCCCAGAGGAUGAAAUGGGUUACCCGCUAGUUAUACAAGUUUCGGGUAACUAUUGUAACCAUUUUAGACACUAUGAUUGACAAUUUGUGUGAUUUAAUUGGCUGUGGGAUUCUCAUUCAGACUUGAUUUGGCAGCUGGAAAGUUCAACAGAGGACGGUGGCAAAAAAGUUCGCACUAAAAAUUCACUUCAUUGAAAUAUGGCCUGAUAAAUUCAUGUUGCUGUUUGGUGGAUACAUCUGCUUCCUGUAAAACAUGAACGACAGAGUUCUGGAUUGGACAGAGCCAAAUUAGGUUUUGAAGAAAGAGGAUGAUACGGAAACAUCGAGUUAUCGAGUGGUUGUUCCUUGUUAGGCCAAACUCAUUGGUAAUUUGGUAUUAUAUGUAGACCUUUAGGUCCUCAUCUAAAGACUAUUCAUAACAUCUUUGUUCCCCAUACAUGACAUAUUCUCGCCUACUCUAUGUAGUCUCUAGACCGGUCUAACAUGUGGUCUCUUUGUUUGACGAAGUUCGUCUCUUUCCACACAUUCGUUCUUCACAGGGUUUCUUCUUUUGUAUCGUCGUCAGUCUCGGGCUUUAUCAACCAGCUUAUCAUAUAUAGAUCCUUAAGAAGUAUGAGAUUGGUAAACAGUUAUCGAUAAAUAGAAGAAUUGUCCAACAAAAGUACCAUUCUUUUACACUCUUCCUACGGGUUGUGAAGGCACCCAUCUAAUGAACCAGUAAGUAAAUUCCAUCCAUUACACACCCUCACAUUGUAAUCACUCUUCCGGGGAAAUGAUUACUUACCAUAUCUUCGUUUUAACCCAGAAGAGAAGGAAGACGACUCCGAACACAAUGGCUACUGGAGCCCAUUUCCGAAUCAACGCCUGCACCCAGAAUCAUGAAAUGUAAUAACAACCAAAAGUCAGUUAAUAACCGAAGAUGUGUAGUUUGCUACGUCUAGGACGAAGAUAUACCUACUGCAGGAAAGAAAUAUUGUUCAGUAGCAAUCUAAAGAAACUAACCUGUCGAUUCAAAUCUCUAGCCUUGUCUGCAUAUACGCGAGAUUCAGAUGUUAAUCGACUGGACAUCUCACUGACCUCUGCAAUAUCAUCAGAUAGACAUUAAAAAGGUGGAAAACUCGGGGAAAACAAGUUAACAUUACUUAGCUAGAAGAAACAACCAUAUGGGCAUCUAAGAAGAGGGAUCAGAAACCAAAUAAUCAAAUAUCACAGACCAAUGAUCAUGUAAAAAAGUGUUCAAAUAUCCAAUAUUAACAUUGGAGAAACGAGACAAAAUAUAUUAAUGGUCAAAUAAACAGAAUAUUACUAUGCGAGGACCUCCAGUGAGAGGUAUAUAGCAAAGGAUAAACUUACGGUCAAGCUUUUCACCAACUCCUAGAACUUCUUGCACAUUACGGGUCAUUAUCUGAUGGACUUCAUAGAGUUCAUCAUUCAACUUAGCAAUGUUCCGUUGGGUAUGUGUGUCCUGGUACAAUUUCUUUGUUCUCUGUAUAAAAGUAUCUGAACAAAGGCAGAAACAAAACAUUGGAACAGAGAGAUCUAGCAGAUGCAAAUUCAGAAAUUAUGUUAACUAACCGAUGAUAAACAUAGACUUACCAAACUUGAUAAAGGCAUAAGGUCUGGCAGCAGUUUCAAUUUGAACCCCGUUGACACGCUCAAAUUCAUUUUUCAAGUCUUCAAGAUAUUGAAACGCAAGUUUCUUAGGAUAUGCACGGUCACACAUUGUAAGGUAGCAUACUCGUCCUUCGAUAAUAUAGCUAAGCCAUCAGGUCAAGGAAAAUGAAAUUUGUACAGUACACAAAAUCACCUCAAACAAAGAAAUAUAUAGCGUGUAUCCACAAUGUACUUUUCCACAAGUAUACCACCUUAAAAGGUCUUUCAAGGCACCAGUUGGACUGCAAAUAUACACCCAAAACGCCAAACUACAUGAAAAGGAGCUAAAAGACAACCCUGAGAAAAUUAUGCCAUUAGCAUAUAAGCAACAAGAAAGUUGUCAUUUGAAAUAUCAUCAAGCACACAAAACUUAGGCUUGCCAAGUUAGUUUCACGGCUGCAAUGAAAUGAUAUUACUUCAUGUACCUGCUUCCCAACAGGCAAACUUCUAAAACAUAUCACAAUAAUAGAUUUGUGAUAGAGUGAUGUCUGUCGACCAUUAUAAAUACAUAUAGCUAGGUCAAUCCAAUAAAUAAAAUCAAGUUCACUUAUAUAAACAAGAUAGUGAUAGUAUACUGUAUAACUAAUUCAAAUUUGAAUAGUAGUGUCAAACAACUAUAAACCACCUUUUUUUUAACUGUAAUCAAGCAGUAGGAUACUGGAAGAUGUACGGGCCAGUCUCGAUGGACAUCCUUGAAGGCUCAUUCUGGCGAAUGGCGAGAUUCUUGAACAAGGCCUUGACUUGCUGCUUGUACAAUUCAAUAUCUUUGACAUCACGACCAUCAUCCAGACCUUCCGCCAGUGGGAGACCGUCAGUAACACGGGCUAUCAUUGUAAGCUUCACCAUCUUUUAGUAAUUACUUCCUCAGAUAUGCACUGCAACUGUACCAAUACGAAAAUUACUCAACUUUUGGAGAUGGAAAGACGGAUAGUAAGCAAUGAGAGAAGGGGUUCUAUGAUCCAUCACAAGAUUCAUGCAAACCACAUCAUUCUUAUUAUCAAACGAGUCGGCAUACAUUGCUAGAAAAACAAACGAAACCCAAGCAACACAAGGUAGGUCAUACCGAAUUCCAGAAUUUCAUAUUCAAUCAGUCCUUAUCCAAUUAACAGAUGUAGAUAGAUCGCUUCAGCAAUCAAACUAUACAAAAUGAGGAACCAUCUAUUGUUAAAGGAUGCAACAGGAAAUUGAGAGUGCCAUGAAAGGGAUCAGAACAGCAAUCGCAGACGCACAAAAGAUAAUUCGGCAAUGACAUCGACAUCAACGAAACAAUCCCCAAAGAAAAUGGACGCACUAAAGAAGGCGUCACCACGCGAGGAAAAGCCGAUCCCCGUUUUGAAUCGAUGAACCGCCGAAGGAACACAGAGUCGACUGAGCCAAUCGAACAGCUUCCUUCUGCCUGGAUGAUCGGCGGAGCUGCAAAUGGAGGUUUGAAUUGAAAGUGAUGCGGAUUCAGAUUAUUCGAACAAGACUUGUAGUCAAUCAAAUCUAGACCGUUAAUCACCCAAAUUGAAUUUUGGCUAAUUCCUCCUGCGGCCCUUAGAGUUUUGGUCUCGCGCUAUUUUUAAUACCCAGGGUAAUUACAUUCAUGUUAAAAAUAAAUUACAAGAGAGCAAAAAACAAACAGACAUCACCUUACAUUUCUAAAUUACAUCUCGCUAAGUCAUUCCUAAACUCUUUUCUCUCAAAAAGUAACCAAACCCCGUUUUGGUAUGUAUGAUAUUAGCUAUUCAAAAUAUCUCGUACCAAACGAGACCUUAAUCAAUCAAAAUUAGUUCGGUAUGAUGAGUUUUGAGUUGAUCAAACAAUAUAUAAAUAUGUAUUAACCGUUUAACCGAGCUAAUUAUAAGAUUUAUGGACUAAGGCCGAUCCAUUAAUCAAUUUAAAUAGUUCCGUUUUGAGACAUGACGCGAGAAAUCAAUCUAGCUAGGAACAAAAUACAACGAUCAGAUUUUGACUUCACGUCGCAAUUGGCUAUCUUCUUCCAGCAAAGCCAGCCAGCAUUGCAAGACCCUCCAAGUAGAGCCUAAGCAGUCUUGAAAACAAAUCUUGGAGCAAAACCUUUUCUAUAUCAUAUGACAAAAAUUGUUCAGAGCUGCAACUUCAAGCACUGUCCAUAUCCAGUGCCCAGGAACAUGACUCCCAACUCACUUUAAACUUUGUUUCUCUCUCGGAAAAGAUCAAAAGAGGAAAUUACAGUCUAGGAGAGCAGCAUACAUCUAUCUCUACCUGAAAUUAACAGAUAAAAAUACCAAGGUGAGGUAAAGUCUUGGUGACAUGCAGAAUGAGGGACAGACCAGGAUAUCUGCAGAUACCAUAUUACUUGAGCUGCACUUUGUGGAAAUGAUCUACAGCUUUCGACAACGACUGUAUUGAAACAGGGUAUCCUUCUCCCAUCUGCAUUCAUGAAAUGGAUCAUAGGAUUGUCCCAAGUAGAUGUCUUAUAAACAGAUAGGCUAACAGGGUAACCGUUUGAGGCAAAAAAAAUUUAAAAAGCUUACCGUGCUGCAUAUAUGGAAUGAGUUCACAUAUCCAGCAUAUUUAGAAGCUGCACGAGAGCCAGAGAAAAGUUAUUAAGGCUUCGACAGAAAUGACGACGUAGUCAAUUUGUUAAGCUUAAGCAACAUAGAACGUUUCAUUCAGUAAACAGUCCAAGUUAGUCAAGCCUCCAUGAUUUAACAGAAAACGACAUACAUAUUUGGAUAUAUGGCAUAACUGAGUGGAUACAUGCAUAAAAUCUAAAGGGGGCUCCAAUUCAUAGGAGAAACCAGAAAGAGCUUACUUUUCUUCAAGCCAGCAGGCUUUGCUUGCAGAAGGGCAUUCAUAAAAGCACCAAUGUUCUCACGUAGGGACUCUUCGCUGAAACUUGCCUGCGAUGAGGAAAGAUGAGCAUCCUAGCCAGUCCUACAGUCUAUUAUUAACACAUCAGAUAUAUUCUCAACUUUACCUUUCCAAGUCCCACAUGAACGAUGGAUGAUUUGUCCAUUCUGAACUUUAUCUGAUUCUGCUUUGCUGCUUUUACUGCCCUAGUUACAUCGCUAACAACAGUGCCUUGCUACAAUAGGAACAAGCACAAAUAAGUAACGAGGAAAUACACAAUAGGAGGUAGUCAAACCAAACUUGACAAAUUUCACCUUUGCAUCAGGCAUCAAGCCAUGACGGUUAAGAAUCCUUGCAAUCUGCAAAGGAAAAAAACAACUCUAUUAAACUAGGUGAUGUGAUGAACUCAAGCUUAUGGUGAUAUUGUAUGUCUUCUCACCUUGGCAACCCGGGGAUACAACUGACGAGUUGCAUAACAUUUGUCGAAGUCCACCUUGCCAGUACCUUUGAUCAUAAAUCAAUCAAAUCAAAAUAAAGGAACUAGCUACCAACCCAGUAAACACCAUUAUGGGUGAAAGGGUAUCUCAAUUCAAUCUAGUCAGCUUGAACAUGCACAAGGGAACGGUGUUGAAUACUACAAAAUGAACUCCAAAGAGAAGAGAUCAGUCAUCUUAUCCAAUGACCAUGCACAAUAAAAAGAUUCUCAAUAUGGUAAUUCGUGACAGGUUUUUUUCCCUUUGCAUCCUGUUCUAUAGGGGAGGGCAUGGAACAGCCGAUUGGGACAUAAAGAUUAACAUAAUCUACACAGUAAACACAUACUCGCAAUUUCUUCAAUAAGUUCAAUGCCUCCAACAAUGUCGGCACCUGCAGCUCUAGCUUCUUCUGCCUCUGCUCCUUCAGCAAAGAAUACCACUUUCAGAACCUUCAAACCAACAGAAGAAAAAGGCCUUACCAUAGUUAAUAAAAGCAAAUAACAAUUUCUGGUUGCACGUAACAUAAUUCACAAUGCUUACCUUCUCUCCCCCAUGUGGCAAAGUUAAAGUGCCCCGAACAAUCUACAGUUUGAUAUGCAGUGUGUCAGUAUAGUCAAAACAUUAUUUGCGCACGGGGGCAAAGAUAUGACAAGGCAUUAAAGCGUUACUCGAGCUAUGACAGUUUGAAACUUUUAACAUGCGAUUUGCAGUACAAUUUGCAGCUACUAUGGCUGAGGGAAACAGAUAAAAAUGGUAGCAAUCGGUAGAAAGAAUUCUAAACAACACAUAUAAAAUGAAUCGGAAUUUUUCUGUCUCUAGUAGAUAAAACUUCAGGAUAUCAUCAUAAUCAACUACUAAUACAACUCAAGCUACUAAGACAUGUUCAAAGCAUACUGUUUGAAUUCAGCUACUUGAAAUCCUCACUUGUGAGGAAAGCAAAGCUUAUAUAUUUCUGUCAACGGCAAAGUAAUCCGAUGAAUCUACCUAUUCAACUCAACACCCACCAGGUCUGAUCGAGAUUUAUCGAUCCCCAAUCUCGCAUGCGCUUCAAUAGUUUCAUCAAAGGUCGUCCUGGCGUUGCCCUGACCAGUUGAAAGAAACAAUCCAACAAAAAAUUAGAAUCUGAAAACAACCUAUAUAAUAACAUCAUCCAUUUUACAUGUAACCAAACAGACAGUAACCUUGACUUGGCGAAUGGCGUCCAUCAAUUCCAGAAGUGGCCUCUUCUCUUUCUUCUUCUCCGGUACGAUCAAUCUAGGAAAAGGCACAACAGCCUGCUCUGUUUGUUCCUCCAUCCUCAAAAUCCUCCUCAUCGCCCUAUUCUCCGUUUCAACCCGGCGAACCUCGGUCUUCAUGUCCUCGCCGUCCUUUGCACUCUCUUGCAUUUCACCUUCCACCUUGUCCUCCGGCAAGGGCGCCACACGAGGCGCAUACGAAAUUGGUACAACGAAUGGCGCGUCUUUCACAUACCUGGCGUCCUCCCGACUCCAAUUCGAUCGAACCUCCGACGAAUUUUGGAAUCCUCGCGGCUGUCUUGAGAACUGCUGUUGCGGAGGAGGCUGAUCAUUCGUCGACGACUCUUUACCGGUCUCCGCCGUCGGUUCCUUUGGCUUCGGUUCGUAGGAAACUGGCUGGACUAGGACAGGUUGACUUCGUGGAUUCGGAGCCGGCGUUGGAGUUCCAUUGGGGUCCGAAUCGGAGGAAAACCAACUCCGAGAUAUCAAGGACUGAGAGGAAUGGAGGUGGAAGGGAACCCUGGCAGGGAAGUGGCGACGGGCUUGGGAGAAGAGGACCUUCGUCACUGCCAUUUUCAGCUUCAGUUCUGAUGGCGGAGUGACUGACUACCGACGGGACAAAGAUACAGAAAUUAAUUAGGGUUUUAGAUGGGGGAGUCGACACUGAGAGUCCCAAGGUUUAACAAACUAUCAUAAUGGUCCCUAAGUUCUAAAAUCCAUCAUAUUAGUCCCAGCGAGAUUUCCUGUUGUGAUUAAAAGAAGUUAAAGCCAUAGGGAGUCUCUAGCCCGGUUCACUAUUUUUUUUAUGAAAGGCGAGAUUUAUUGUUAGAGAAAGAAGAAGAACGUAUAUGAAGCGAAAAGAAGUUCAAGAACAAAGAAAAAGUUUUUCGAAUUGAGAGAAAAUAAAGCAGUUGUAUGUUCGAUUUUAUUAUCGUUGUUGAUCCAAAUUUGUACAAAGACGAAUUGACCAACAAAAUUGAGUAUGGAUACAAAUUACAAAACAAUCUCUUCAAACAAUUAAACGGACACAAAAGGAAGAAGAGAAAAUUACAUUAUAAAGAGAAAACCAGGGAAAGAGAUUAUGGAGGAUUGGUUCUGACUUUGUAUAUUCUUCUUCAUAAAUAACAAUCCUCCUUCGAAGCGAUUCCGGCCGUACUCAUCCAACGAAAAAUCAUAUUAGAGAUGCGAUUGAUAAUGUCUUUAGUUGAGGAACACUUAUCGCGGAACACUCUAUUAUUCCUUUCUAACCAUAUCAUCGAAGAAGUUCACUAUUACAUAUGCUUCCCUCUUUUGACUACAUCAAACGAUUUAGAUUGAACAUCCGCAUUUAAUGCUGAAUAAUUGACUACUCUCGCCACACAAUCAGAAGCUAGACGUUUUUGUUUCUUAAACCUCUCUCAUACGUGUAAAAAGUUGGGAUCGGUACUGCAGACUCAGCUCUACUUCUCCAUAACAACCGCCGUUUCCCCAAUCCAUAUCUUCUCUUUCCCUUGCUUUUAACAUCCAUCUCAUCUUCCCCAUUUUUUCAACUCAUCCAAACCUUAGAAUUCCGUAAUAAUACUGAUCCAAUUUGUAGAAGUUCCGAUCAUGGAGGAGCAGCCUGGGGAAGAAGACGAGGGUGGGGGCGAUCGGCCUUGGUAGAAGAUAUAGAACACAGAGCACCCGAAGAACGAUAAGGCACCGUCGAUGAAGGAUUUUUGGGGAUUCCGCUUCAAUGGUGAGAUAUGCGGUAACCUACCUUAUUAUAUCUCUGAUGUAUUAUGUUUAGACGUAGUACUAUACGGAACAUCUUAUAGUCAAUAUUGCCAUACAUUUCAACCCUAAACCUUUAAAAGAAAAUUUUUUUAUUUAAUUAUUAUUUAAAGAGUUUAAUGUGAUGAAUUUUUUAUUUUUAAUCAUUUCCAAUAUGCAUGUUAAAUAUUAAUAAUUUGAAAUUUUUUAUUUUUUAUGUUAAAAUCGGUCAAUUUUUAAAUAGGUUAUAUGCAUGUUAAAUAUUAGCCAAUUUUCAAUUUUCAUGUUAAAAUCAAUUUUCAAAAGGGUUAACCUAUGAAAAAGAACCAUUUUGACAUGAAAAUUUCAAAAUUUUCAAAUCGGCUAAUAUUUCACAUGCAUGUUGGAAAUGACUAAAAAUCAAAUUUCACUAUGAUAACCCCGUAAAUAAUGAUCAAAGGAAAUUAAAAAUCAACUUUACUUGGUGUUAUAUAUGUUAGUGUUGAAAAUUUUCAAAUUGGCUCACUUUAUGCUUGUUGAGUCGUCGUUACAUGAAUUGCGUUUUCUCAACUUCGACUAUAAACAAUUUUGUGAGAAUCAAAUCGUUUUAUCAUNNNNNNNNNNNNNNNNNNNNNNNNNNNNNNNNNNNNNNNNNNNNNNNNNNNNNNNNNNNNNNNNNNNNNNNNNNNNNNNNNNNGUGAGUUUGAAAUUUGUAUUUAGGGUGAACGUUUUACAUGAAUUAGUGUGACACUUUUGUAAAUGCCUAGAUGAGCUAUAAUGCUAUUUAACAAUAAUAAUUAAAAUUCUUUAAAAAAUAUUUUUUUAAUUUUAUUUGGAUAUUAUUUGAAAAGAUUAAUAUGGUGAAAUCUUAAUUUUAAAAAUUCUCAAUAUACAUGUCAAAUAUUAACCAAUUUAAAAAAAAAAAUUUACAUAAAAGUUGGUCAAUUUCGGUGUGUUAUAUUAUGAAAAUUUAAUCAUUUUCACAAAAUAAAUUUAAAAUUUUUUAAUCAAUUAAUAUUUAAUAUGUAUGUUGAAAAUGACUACAAAAUCAAAGUUUAACAUGGUAAAACCUUAAUUAUUUUAUUUUGAAUAAUGCUUUUUGUAUAAAUGACUAUAUGAUUGACUAGAGAAGUUUGCUUGCAUUUCUUUAGUUGAUAUUGCAUGAAUAUGCUUAGUCUUAUCAAGUAUAAAUACUUGUUCUUCUGAGAGCAUAACCUUUUCAAUGGCCAUAGCAGUUUCUAACAAGCCAUUGUUUCUUAUCUGCAGUGUCUAACAAGCCAUUUCGAGGCAAAAUGCGAGAAUUAAAUCUAUGACCAAAAUAAAACGAUUAAAUUUUAAUUUUUUAUAAUGAUUAGUUAUUUUGAUUUUUCCCGUUGGAAACUAUCGAAGAGAAGAACAUGAACUUUGACUAUUGGCCGUUAUAGAAAUGCCGGAUGCUAACUGUAAGCAAAUGUGGGGAAAGGUUAGAAUAAACUUAGAACAGAACUACACAUUUGGCGCUGAUUUGACUCGUCGACGAUUGACUCCAAUCUUGUUGGAUAAACUGCCGGCCAAUUCCGGCGGCAUCUCAGAUUGGAGUUAACACAUAACGUCAAACAAAAAAGUUGCAUGGCUUUGUGGGAAUUUAUAUUAUUUUAUUUUAUAAUUGGAUUGUGCAAAUUAAUAAAUGACAAGGCAUAGCAUAUAAUAUAUAUAUCGCGUUGUUUCCAUCGACCAAGUCUGCCGCCGUCUUGCUGCCGGCGGGGCAAACGGACGAAGAAAAGCAUCCAAAAAAGGCCAGUUCCUUGCCAGGUAUGAUCACCGGCGGCGGCCCGUACCCGCCAUAACCGCAGGAUAUUUCAAUACUUUCUGCUUUAUCCAAUUUUUCAUAACUAUAACUGUCUGCUUAACCAAUUUUCAACUACUUAUGAUCCUUUGUACUGGUCAAUGAAUCAAAAAAUAUAUUUAAAACAUAAUUUGGGUGCUGAAAUUGAGUAUGGAUAUAGUUUGUGUUGGGAGGGAAACGAUUUGGAUGGUACUAGUAUGAUAUAAAUACCUAUAAUAUAAAUUAUAGUUAAGCUGGUUGUUACUAUUAAAGUGUAUUAUAUUUUUUCGAUGAAUAUUUAUGUCAUAUUUAUAUCGUCUAAUAAAAUUUAUGUUGUUGUUUGGUGGAAAUUGUUUUGGUGGAGUUAUGAAUUGGACUGAACCGAAUUAUGUUUUGAAAAAAAGAAGGUGAUAAUUGGUAUGAGAACAUUGAGUUAUCGAGUGGUUGGUCCUCAUUUGACCAAACUAGAUAUUCAUAACGUAUAUGCUCCCCAUUUAACAUAUUAUCACACGUACCUCUCUAGAUAUUCUAAUAUAUGAUUUCUUUGCUUCACUAAGUUUAUCUCUCUCAUCACAUAUCCGUCCGCCAUAAAGUUUCAUCCUGUUGUCUGACUUGGACUUGGAAAUUUAUAUUAAACCGAUUUUAUCACUUGAAACACGUUGAGAUUGAUAAAUAACUAUCGAUAGGUAGAAAAACUUUAGCAAUUACUUUCCGGAGCACUAGCUAAAACGUGACAUCAAUUCGAUGAGUUACUUUUUUUAACAGUUUUAGUUAUUAAAACACACACAUCUUUAAAAAUAAUAAUGUAUUACAAUGAGUUUACAAUUCUAUAGUUAUAAUAUUUAUCUACUUAUAUUAAUAGUCCAAUUUUAAAAUGUACAAAACAGUGGGAUACUUGUGGCUCAUCAACCAAGGGAAAAUUGUUUCCAAUUCAAUUAGGUGAGAACUGUUCUCUUGUUUGAUUACACAAAGCAUUCUUCACUUUGGCAUUAUAUAUAACAACAAUGAUCUCGAUUCUAUAAUCUAACAAUUCACCUUAACCAAGUCAACAAGUCAUCGCUCGUCACAACGGUCCUACCGCCCAACUAAAUGAUUAUAUAAAGUUGAUACAUCCUACAAUUAGUUAGUUGCAUUAUGUAUUCGUAAUUUGAAAAUAUUUAGUUGAAAUUUAACGUAACUGAAGGUAUCAUUUUUUCGCUCACAAAGCAUCAAUUCCAUCAUAAAACAGGCGAAAUUUGGAUUCAAGGGCAAAUCUGAAUCACUCUAAACGGAACUCGCAUGUUGGAAUCAGGCAUAAGUAAGCCUCCGAACCCAACGAAAUUGAAAAUAUAUAACGCUUUGUGAUAGUGAAAAACGUAUCAGGCUGAAUUAAUUUGACGUCCGCAAUUAAUCCCUCAAAUCUAGCUAAUUCCACAGGAAUAUGACCGCGAAAAACAAUACCUAGUGUCAUAUCAUCCUUACCUCGCUUAUCUAAAAAAAAUAUAAAAUCUGAAGAAUAUGGUGUAAGCAGGAAUAGGGUGAAUUAUAUGGAAUAUAAUCAAUAAUACUAUACAGGCCUAAAUUAGGGUAGAAAUCUACAUUUAAAUUUGGAUUCAAAUUGAGUAAACUCAGGUAAAAAAAGUUUACUUUUUAAUUUGUAAUUAACUAAAAUAAAAGUGGAAUGAGAGUGAACACAACCUUACUUAAUCAUUUUAAUUCCCUCCUCCUCGCCAUCAUCGCAAGUUCCGGACUCCACAGCCUGCUCUGUUUCUUCUUCUUCUAAUUCCAAGUUUUUACAUCACAACGAAACCAACCGGAAUCGUUGAAUCGCCACCGAUGCCGCUGUUCAGCGACUCGGCUACCGUCGGACUCCUCGCUGGGAAACAACAGGUCACCGUCUUCGUCAGCUCUGGCCCGCUCUACCUUUCUUCCGCCGGCAAGAAAGUUUUCCACCACGUAGAUUACGGAACGCAGGUCUCGCAGCUCCUAGUCGACUCCGUUAACCGCAACGACACCAAUUCAGCGAUCGGAUUCCUCGAUGAUCCGUUCUGCGACGUCAACUUCAUCGGCACCGUCAGCCUCCGGUCUCGGAAGACGGAGGUCGUGCUGAACGGCGAGUCCGCUCACGAGGUCCGAUUCGAUUACGAGGAGUUCAGGACCGACGUCACCGCUCUCUUCCUCGCCGCUCACUCCGGCAACUCGCCUCUCGUCAGGAAGUUGCUGGUAAAUUUGUGUUCAUCUCUUGAGCAGAGUAAUCCAUUGAAAUCAUUUUGAUUUUGAUUUUGAUCGAUUUAGGUUAAUAUGUUUAUUUUCCCCUUCAUUUCGGGCAGAAUCUGGGAGCCAACCCGAACCAGAAGCUGUUCCGAGGCUACGCGACAACUGCAGCUGUAAGGGAAGGUCAUAUGGAGACAGUGGAGGCGCUAAUGAAAGCGGGAGCGUCUCAGGAGGCUUGCGAGGAAGCUUUAAUGGAAGCGAGCUAUUUCGGUCAAGCUAGGCUGGCGGAGAUGCUCAUGAGCUCCGAUCUCAUACGCCCCAGAAUUGCAGUUCAUGCUCUUGUCUCCGCUUCCUGCAGGGGUUUCGUUAAUGUUGUGGACGCGCUCCUUAAGGCAUUUCAUCGAACAUGUUGCCUACUACAUUGAAAAUUCCGUCGUCGUUAGUUUUCAUGUGUUAUAUUAUAAUUGUGUUUUCUUCUUCUUCAUGAUAGUGUGGAGUAGAUGCCAACGCCAUGGAUCGGAUCCUGCUUCAAUCUUCCAAGCCGAUGCUUCACACGAACGUUUACAGUAACGCUCUUGCGGCCGCCGUUGUUAGCAGACAAAUCUCUGUAGUCAGAUUGCUCUUGCAGGUAACCAUUUAUCUCAUUAAUUACCAUUGGUUGCCUUAAAAUUUGAAUUUCUUCGUUCUAAAAAUGUAUUAAAAUUAUUUAAGUGUCCUUUGUUAAAUUUGAAUUUCUUGAAUGUCUUGAUAUGUUGAUUAUAGCCCACACGUAUGGACUAUAUAGUGUAUAUAUCAAUGAUAUAUCCUCACAUGAUGGUGAUGUGUUGCUAAAUGGCAGCACACCUUGAUCAAUUAGAUUUUUUUUUCUGAAAAUAGGCAUUAAAAAUUAGGAUAUUUAAAUUUUAAAAAUAGAUUAAUUGUAAAUAUUGAGAUACUUUUUAAAAAUCAAGACAAUUAAAUUUUGUUCCCGGGGUUUUAAUAUGGUCAUUAAAAACUGAAAUUAGGUGUUGAUUUGGUCAUUACAAAUUUAAAUUAAGUGCUGAUUUGGUCAUUAACAUCUGUUACCAAGGUUCAUUCAAAAAAAGGGUCCUCAAAGUUUUAACUUGAUACUUAUACGGUACUUAAAGUUAGGGUUACUAACUUACCCCUAACCUGAUUAACCAAUUUGAACCAAAUCGAAAUUGGACCGGUUCUGACUGAUUUUGGUAAACAGGCAGGGGUGAGAGUGGACACCAAGGUGAGAAUCGGCGCGUGGUCGUGGGACAUGGAAACCGGAGAAGAAAUCCGAGUCGGAUCAGGAUUAGCCGAAGCCUACUGCGUCACAUGGUGCGCAGUGGAGUAUUUCGAGUCCACGGGAGCUAUCCUGCGCAUGCUCCUCGGCCAUCUCCUCCCUAACGUAACCCAUCUCGGAAGGACUCUGAUUCACCAUGCUAUCCUCUGCAACAAUGCCGAAGCGGUUAAAGUCCUCAUAAACGUCGGCGCAGAUGUAGAAUAUCCAGCCGUAACUUCGAGAAGCCAAGUCCGGCCGAUCCACUUAGCGGCGAGGCUCGGAUCUGCUAGAGUCAUCGAGCAGUUGAUCAGCGCUGCCGCCAACGUCGAUUCAAUGACAAACUCCGGCGAGACUGCGCUGAUGAUCUCUGCGAAGUGUAAGCAAGAGGAAUGCCUCAAGAUUUUAGCAUCUUCCGGUGCCGAUUUUGGUUUGCUCGAUUCCGAUGGCGAUUCGGUUGUGUCGAUCGCGAGGAAGGGAAAUUGGGAGCUAGGGUUUCAACAGGCGGUGAUGGAGGUGAUUCGGUCGGGGAAGAGUUUGAAAUCGAGCAGUUUUGCGGUUUUUUCUCCGUUAGCGUUCUCGAUUCGAGUGAUGGAUCUCCAAGCGCUGAAGAAGCUGACGGAGAAAGCGGACGUGGAUCUCGACGAACAGGACGGAGAUGGUUUUACUGCUCUGAUGGUGGCCGCCGCCGGAGGCCACAUCGACGCUUUCAGACUGCUUCUCCAAGCAGGAGCGGACGUGAAAUUGAGGAACAAACGGGGAGAAACGGCAAUGAAUUUGGCAGAAUUGAAUCGAAACCGGGUCGAAUCGUUCGAGAAAGCUCUCAUCCAGUACGGAUUCUACCAAAUGAAUUGCUCGGUUGUCGGAAACAACGCCCUGCAUCGCGCCGCCGUGAGAGGCGAGCUAGUGUUAGUCCAGACGCUAAUCGCACAGGGCUGCGACGUGAAUGCCUCCGACGGCGACGGAUACACCCCGCUAAUGCUCGCAGCGAGAGGCGGGCAUGGAAAAAUCUGCUCGCUCCUCAUCUCAUCAGGAGCGAGAGUCGAUUUCAAGAACGAGAGGAGCGAGACGGCGCUGCUUCUGGCGAGGAAGAGCAGCGGCGGCGGGGGAGAGGCGGCGGAAGUGAUUUUAGACUACAAGGCGCGGGAGAUGGUUCUGGAAGGCGGCAGGUUGAAGAAGCAUACGAGGGGCGGGAAAGGGAAGCCGCAAUACAAAUCGGUGGAGAUGGUACCCGCGGAGGGGGUUCUCCGGUGGCAGAAGUGGUGGUGGUGGUGGGUGAAGACGAGCGUGGUGUGUAAGGAAGCGAAGGUUGGUCCGGCGACGAAGUUCCGGUGGAACCGGCGGAGGGCUGCGGACUUGGAGGAGCCCGGGUUGUUUCAUGUGGUGACUACGAAGGGGAAGGUUGUGCAUUUCGUAUGUGAAGACGGUGGGGAUGAGAUGGCGGAGCUUUGGGUCAGAGGGAUUAAGAUCAUCACUCGGGAAGCCAUUUUUGGCAAGUGUUAGUCGUGAAAUCCUUGGGUCGUUAGGAUUUUCUGGUUGUGUGUGUUUUUUCAUUUAGUUUGGAGAAGGGAGAUUAUACAUAGCAAAGUGUUGUGUGUAGAUAAGUGUAAUUGUGAGGGGGUGUAGAACUCGACAUAAUAAUUCAUCAUCUUCAAGUUAGGUAAAAGGCUAUAUAUUAACAGUGUGUUAAUUAUUCAAAUACUCAUAAAACUCAUUUGACUAUGAUGAGAUAGUUCAAAUUAACAUUAAUUACGAAAUAUGACUAUGAAAUUUUUUAACUAAUUAUACUAUAAUCAUAACUAUAUUAAAUUCUUAUAACAACACGAGUUUAAAUAUAUUUUACACUAAUUAAAGUGUCAUUAGAGUCUCGGCAAGUUACGAAAAUUCAAAUUUAUGUGGAAAGAAAUUGUUAUUUAGUUCGGAGAAAAAACUGUUAGGUGACCAUUUUGCAGCACCCAAGAGAUAAGUGACGAGAAACGAUCAUUACUAGAAGUAUUCUUAUUUUUUUGAAAUACCAGAAGUCUUCUAUUUCUCUUCUUUUCCAACUUUUCGAACCUCACCAAAUCCCAAUCCCUCGCGCGCACUUUUACUGUACUGCUCGAGUUCAAGUCCUUUCUCUUCCUCUUCGAUUCCUAAGACGGAAAAGAGCUUCUACGAACUGAUUCAUCCAUGGCGGCGCAUCUUCCCAUAGUCCAAUUCGAGGAGCAAAUCAUCAGAACUGUUCAAGACAAUCGGGUGGUGGUCGUGAUCGGAGAGACCGGUUCGGGGAAGAGCACCCAGCUCUCUCAGAUGCUCCUCCGCCAUGGCUACUCCAAGUCCGGAAUCAUAGGCGUUACUCAGCCCCGUCGAGUUGCCGCCGUCUCCGUCGCCAGGUACUGCUUCGGAAUUUCACUGUCUGGACUGUCAUAACUGGAGAAUGCUAGUGUUUUUAUAUUGUUUCCUGUAUUUAGACGAGUUGCUCAGGAACUUGGCGUUAAGCUUGGGGAGGAAGUUGGUUAUGCGAUUCGGUUUGAGGAUAGGACUUCGGACUCGACACGGAUUAAGUAAGGGAACUUCGAGUUGGUUCUUAUGGUUUUUGUUACAUGUUAUUAGGUUUUCAUGCUGUGUUGGUCUCUUGCUUCAGCUUUGUGUACUGUUUAGGUACCUUACUGAUGGAGUUCUUCUCCGGGAAAGUCUAUCUGACCCCGAGCUUAGUCAAUAUUCGGUUAUAAUAUUGGAUGAAGCCCAUGAGAGGAGCUUGAACACGUAAGUUCUGCAUUCCGGAAAAGAAUAGUUUUUGACAAUAUUUGUAGCUUCCACUAAAGAAAAAUCAGCUGAGAGUUACAGUUGUUAAUGACCUUUUUAGGGACAUUUUACUGGGACUGGUGAAGCGAUUGACGAAAAUGCGUGAAUGCAAAUUGAAAGUUCUGAUCACAUCUGCAACUCUAGAUGGGGAGAAGGUGUCGGAGUUCUUUUCGGAGUCCCCAAUUCUGAACGUCCCCGGGAAGCUGUUUCCUGUGGAAGUAGUAUACAGCAGGGAGCGUCCCAUAAGUUAUCUCGAGUCUUGCCUCAGAACAGCUCUUGGUAUUGACGAUGUGUUGUUAGUUUUUCUGCUCUAGUGUUCCUCACAAGACACGUGCUUUGACAAGCCAUGUUCAUAAGGUUGCAUUCUGUUCUUCUUUUUCUUGUAGAUAUACAUCGUAAGGAACCUGAAGGGGAUGUGCUAAUAUUCAUGACUGGACAGGUGAGGUUGCAAAAGUUGCCUCUUCAGUGGUAUGGUCUGGACUGGACUAUGUUGUUAUGCUUGUAUUGAUUUUCAAAAGUCUGAUUCAGCCUUUUGCAGGAUGAUAUUGAGAAGUUGGUUGCAAAAUUGGAGGAAAAGAUUCGAGGCCUAGAGGAAGGUUCCUGUAUGGAUGCAGUAAUCCUUCCUCUUCAUGGUUCUUUGCCUCCUGAAAUGCAGGUUAAUGUUUUUUUUUAAUUUCCUUAUUCUAAUUAAACGAAGUAGCUUGUGAUCCUGUGUAUUAUCUUUAAGUUCAUAAUUUUCCUAUAUACAGGUGCGUGUCUUCAGUCCUGCUCCUCCAGAUUGUAGGCGAUUUAUUGUUGCUACCAACAUUGCUGAAACUUCUUUGACGGUUGACGGAGUAGUGUAAGGAGUUUGAUGGUGUAUUUCUUUUGUUCCUGUUCUGAAUCUUUGUUUACAUGUUUUCUCUUUCUCCUGUUUAAUGAAUUUUGAAAUUUUUCUCGGGUGAAAAUCAUGGAUAAUCGCAGGUAUGUUAUCGAUUCGGGUUAUGUAAAGCAAAGGCAGUACAAUCCAUCAACUGGCAUGUAUUCUCUUGAUGUUGUUCAGAUCAGCAAGUAAGUACUUUCAUUGCUGUGGCAUUUGUCUGUUCUUUCCUGUUUUUUCUAGGAGAACUGUUGGUUACUUUUUUUGUCUUCAUGUGUUGAAUCGAGGACUACUUAUUCUUCUUCAUAGGCUCUCUUCAUGUUUUCAAAUCAAGAACUCCACAGAUAUUGCCUUCUCGGAAGGCUGCUGUCACUUUUUAUUAUCUUCUAAGAAUCAUUCUUAAGUUGAUUUUCUGUGCGUUAUCUAAACGAUUGAGUUUGUGUUGUGGCAGAGUGCAAGCAAACCAGCGUGCAGGAAGAGCAGGAAGGACACGUCCGGGGAAAUGCUAUAGGUUGUACCCUUCCUCAGUGUAUCAAGAUGAAUUACUUGACGUAACUGUCCCUGAGAUACAACGAACUUCACUCGCUGGCACUGUUCUUUACUUGAAAUCAUUGGACCUUCCAGACAUUGACAUUUUAAAGUUUGAUUUCCUGGAUUCACCUUCUGGUAAUCCUUCUCUCCACACAUAUCUUUAUGUUUCAUAACCUUCUUUUACUGAUCUUAUGCAAUGUAAUCCAGCUCACAUUUAAUUCUUCCCCUCACAUUUGCUAGUAGUAAGAGGACAAUGGUAUAAUUGACCUCAUUUCUCUAUUGCUGCAGCUGAAUCGCUGGAAGAUGCUUUAAAGCAACUUUAUCUUAUUGAUGCUAUAGAUGAAAACGGAGCCAUCACAACUGUAGGACGAACAAUGGCUGGUAUGGAUACUUCAUCUGUUUAUGAAAUGAUGGCGAUUUACUAUACAAAUGUCUUUGUUUUUGAAUUUUCUGAAAAAAGUCAGACCUGGUGGGAGGCAGUUGUCUGACUCUCCCUCCGUGGAGUUAUAAAGAGAGCUUUACUAUAUGGAAGAGAAGUUCAUGUCCUGUUAUAUUUGUGCAGAACUACCACUAGAGCCAUCACUUUCCAGAACAUUAAUGGAAGCAAACGAGAAUGGUUGCUUAUCCCAGGCUUUGACUGUUGCUGCUAUGUUGUCAGCAGAAACUACAUUGCUUCCUAAUCGAAGGUCAGUUUGAUGCUGUGUAAAUCUGUUGGCUCUUUUAUGGUCUUUGUGCUGUACUCUGUUCUUUCUUUGUCGUUUUAGCAGAACAGUUAUUAACUUAUUGAUUCUCUUUAACUUUCAUAUGGAUUUGUAAUUCGUUGUUUUUGGUCGUGUUGGACACUAAUGUCUAUCGUAUGCCCCAAAACCUUUCAAUCAGAUACUCUGUUAUAGCUAAUGAUAAAUUCACCUGUCUUCAUGCAGUAGCAAAAACAAUGAAAAGAAGAGGAAACAAGAACCUUUAGACCUUCCUGAUGGGUCUGGUUUUGGUGAUCACAUCCAGAUGCUACAGAUCUACGAGCAGUGGGAUGAGUAUGACUAUGACAUCAGGUGGUGCAGAGAUCAUGGCUUGCAGGUACCAGAUCACUUACAUGCUAACAAAAGGUCAAAUUGUAGGCACUAUUUUAGCUUUCGGUGCUCAAAUUCAAAAAGAAUUAGUAUCUUCUUUUCUCAGUGAUGAUCCAUAAUUUGAACUCUGUUGAGAUUGCCGGUACUAACCCUUACUCGCAUGUACUAUUUGCAGGAGCGAGGAAUGGUGUUUGUUAAAGAUGUACGUAAACAGCUGUGUCAAAUAAUGCAGAAAAUCGCAAAGGGUUAGUACUUCAUGCCUUUACUCACGCGGAGCUUCUUAAGUUAUGAAUUUGGCGAAUGCAGAAUGGUGUCCCGAUUUUUGCCGUCAUAGCCCAGUAACUAGUUAGUCCUAUGCUGUUUUCUGCUUUAGCAAGGGUUUAGACCUAAGCAUCUCUAUUUGUGUGUAUGUGUGUGGAAGCAGGUUCAACAGAUGUUAGAGCAACUCGCAGAUACAGAGAUGGCCAACAUGAUUGCAAGAAUCUAAGGAAGGCCUUGUGUGUAGGCUAUGCAAAUAAGCUUGCGGAGAAAAUGGUUCAUCACAAUGGCUACCGAACUAUAGGUUUCAAACCCCAACUUGUUCAGGUAUCCCAUAAUCCAUUAACUUGGCUCAAAAUACGAAUUUCGAAGUAUUGCAGUACUGACUCGAGAUCUGUUCUCGUUUUAAGGUCCACCCAUCUUCUGUGCUGAAACCUGACGACGAUGGUAUGUUCCCAAACUACGUCGUGUACCACGAGCUCAUCGCUACCUCUCGUCCGUUCAUGCGGAGCAUCUGCUGCGUAGAGAUGCGAUGUGUCGUCCCGAUUCUCAAGAAACUCGAAAAGCUUGACGUCAACAAACUAAGGUAAUGAAACUUCAUUACUUGCUUUCCAAGCUUCAGUGAUGGAUUUUUCUGUGAGGUUUGUUAUCCUAAAUAUCACUAUAUGUGCUAUGUCUUGGUGCAGCGGAGGGCUUCAUCGCAACGUUGGAGGUAAUGAGAAGACCUUAGAGUUGGUGGAGAAGAAGCCUGUUGUUGCUGCAAUUCCUGAUGAUAGCGAGAACAGAAUCCUGGCUGCUCGUGAACGGUUUCUUGCUCGAAAAGGUAGCAAAUGAGAGUCCGGCUUUCGUCAAAAGAGUGAAUGUGUAAUCAUACGGUGACAGCCAUGGCAGCAGGUUAUCGAUUGUAGUCGGUCAAAAUUGAUGGAAAGAUGGCUGGUGUAACUUAGUAUAAACUAUAGUGGCAUAUCACGCAGUUUGUUACUAUAAUAGUACUCGAUGUAUGUAUUCGAUAACAUGUGCUGACAGAAUGCAUCCGAAAUUGUUACUAUCAUUGGAAAAAAUGUCCGAUUCCACGGACGAUUAAGGUGCACUAGUAAACUCAGCCAAUUAAUAUGAACCUGGCCGAGCUGGUAGACAAUUCAAAGCAUUUACAGUACAAACAAUCUAGCUCUGACAAUUCGAAGCAUUUCGGCCAUGAAAUUCGAAUCCUCUGAAACUAUCAGGAAUUUUAAUUACCAUUUCGGCCAUGAAAUUCGAAUCCUCUGAAACUAUCAGGAAUUUUAAUUACCAUUCUGAAAUCAAUCAAUUAUCAUACGGAACUGUUCCAACGGAGCCUUACAUUGAUAUGCACAAGUAAUCAGCAGCUACUAUCAAUAUUCUCGUAAUGUUGAAGAAGCUAAACAACUUGGCUACUUGGGGAAAAAUUCAGUUACCCAAUUGUUUUUUUUACAGACGGAGGCCGGCGAAGAGCAACUCGAGCUCCUCAUCCUGAGAGAUGGUCCUGGGUACAGAGAGGAGCUGCAAGAUUUUGUUGAGCACUCGCAGGCGGUGGGCGGCGUAGUUGCUGUUUGCCGGAAGCUUAUUCAUCCUCUUCAUCUCUUCCUGAAUCACCGCCUUCUUCUCCUCCUCACUAACCAUUUGCUUCCACUCGUGAGAAGAUUGAGGGGCGGCGACGGCGACGGUGGAUGUGAUAUCCAUUAGCUGUGGCUGAUUGUGAUCUGUUGCCCGGAGUAUGAAUUGUCGAAGGAUCAGGGAUUGACUGAAGAAAUCUCGGAGAACCCUAACUAAGAAGAAGGUCGAUAGGGAAAAAAAAUCAGAAAUAAACUUGUGGUCAGUGGUCACCUAACUUUGAGCUAAAUAUCAAAGUGGUCACUCGAAUUUUAUUUGAUUUUCUUUUGUUAAAAAUGCCACAUCAACAAAGCCAUAUGUAUAUUAAAAAAUUCAAGAACUAAACGAAUCUAAAUCAAAUAAAAUUCGCGAUUUUGAUUAUGAAUUGAGUUUCCACACCAAUAACAUCAUCCUCUCUGUAAUUCAACGAUCUAUAUUUUCUCAUCUGAUCUUCUUCCUUAGCUUCUAUCAUUUUGUUUUAACACCAUUACCUCUUCCUCAACCUCUCAUUGUUGCUCUCUUGCUCGAUUAUGAUAAAUAAGUCGAUCUUUUAAAGAAAUCAGUGACAUCGUCAUACCGAUAAUUCAAUGACUAUUGUCCUCUAAUCCACUUUUCUUCCUCCAUCUCUAUAUCAUUUUGUUUGAACAACCUCCUCCUCAAAAUUAUAACCUGCUAUCUCCCUCAACUAUGUUUCAUAUUCAACAUUUUGUCCGUGUGCAAACUCAAACGUGAGGUUUUACCUCCAAAUCAACGCCCUCAGCCACAUAAAAUUAUUUUUUUUUCAAUUGUAUCUUUCGUCAAUAGUUAUGAAGAGAUUCAUCAACACUUGUAAUGAGCUACAUAGCUAGUAUUUGAUGACAGAAUUAACUACCCUCGCAACAUUACAAUGAAAUGAGAAGAUGAACAUGUCAUUGGUUUAUGAGUUUCGACUUGGAUCAGAAAAUUUAAUUAAUCAAAUAAGUUAGUCCGAAUGAGUUUUUAUUUUCAAUCAUCAGAAUGGAUUUUAAAUUAAAGUUAUAAUGCAACUAAUUCAACUAGUCAAAAAGUUUUAAUUUAGUUUUUUAAGACGACUUAGAAGGUUGACAAAAUAAAAAUAUUAUUAUUUUAAAUCGUAAUAAUGACUUGAUUUAUAUUUCAUUAUAUAAAAAAAUCAGACAAACCCAAAGUUUGGUGACUGAAAUAGUAAUUGACCCCAAAGUAGUCAUGAAAAUUGGCCAAUAAGAUGCAUGAUACAUGGGUGAUGAUGAGCUUGGUACGCGAACCGACGUCGAGUGUAUAGUGGAGAAUAAAUACGUACAAAAAACUUGUAAAAAAUUAAUUGAAGCAUCAAAUUUAUAAGGACUAAUAGGCCCAAUACGUUGGGUGCACAAAAAAUGGCACCAUUUUUUAAAUUACAAUUUAUGGUAUUGUUUUGAUUUGAACUUAAUGAAAAUUCGGUAUGUGUAUCGUUGAUGUUAAAAGGGGCGGAAUAACAUAUUUCGUCAUGAUAUGUGGAACACUAUAUAGAUUAAUAGAUUCGUCACAUCAUCUGAAUUGAGAUCUUAUAUUAUCCGACCCGGUUCUAUUCCGAUUUUAUCUAGACCGGUUUUAUCCGACCCGAUUCUAUCUCCCAUUUAAAUACUGUUGUUCUAGAGAAUUAGGGUUCCCAUUCUUUGUUGUUCUCUCCUAUCCUCUUAUCCUUUUAUUCCUCCCUAUCUUCGACCCCGCCGACUUCAAUUGCUUUCAGGUUUCUUUUCCGUAGCCAGCAUAGAAGCAAUAUGAAAGGAAUUGGUAGUUCCUCAUGCGAGUCAACAGGAUCGAAUUGGCCGAAUUGCAGGCACAAUCAAGUUGUCGCCAUGAUGGUUUUCGGCACUGGGAAGAACUCGGGCAGGAGAUUUUACUGAUGUUCGUUUUGGAAAGUAAUUUCGAUUUUGUUACCGAUAAUUAUGGUUGUGUGCUUUAAUGUUUAGGUUUGAGGUUUCUUCCGUUGGGUAGAUGAAGCUGAGAAGGGGAUGUCCAGAUUUUUUAUCGCUGACGUAGAUUCUUCUCACAAUAUACAUUCCCAACUACAAAAAAAAUUAACCGAAUAUAUUAACAGAUUAGUCAUUACUGAAUACAAAGCACAGAAAAGGAAACAUAAAUUAGCUAAGUUGAAGGCUGAGUUAUGUGAAUUGCGAGUUGCGUGCGAACCAUGUAUUCUACCCAACAACACCAGCCAUAAUCAAAUCUUUGCUUAAAAGGUGCUAUAGUCCAAAAGCUAGCCAUCACUCAUGUCGAAACAAAACUCACUUCUUGGUGUGAUCCUCACUGUUAAUAGAGGGAGAUGGUUAACAGUGCUUUCAAAAAACGACAGAUUCCGGCACUUGGAUCUACACUUCCUUUGACUCCAUUACUUCAGGGUUGUUGGUUUUGAACUGAGAAAGGUGAUAGAUGCAGAGAAGAAGGUAGAAGGUGAAUCUUCAAUCGCAAUAUUAGGGAUGGUCAAUAUUUAAGGUUAAAUCGGGUUUUGCAUGUCAAAAUAUCUGGAUCGAGUUUUGCGGAUCUUAAACGAUUUGUAGUUUGGGAUGACAUGAUAAAACAAUUUUUCGCCUCCCGUCAUGUCAUCUCUUAAUUUGCCAGAUAGGAUACGAGAUAAUGAUACAUCAAAUAACUUAACGGGGAUAAAUUCAAUUCAAAUUGAUACCAUAAAAAUUACAAUUCAAAAAGAUGGUGCCAUUUAACCCAAUAGAUUGGACCUUCUACGUGUAUUGGUUAUUAUGUCCUCGUGAAACACAGUCACUCCGUAUAAUGAGCUGAGAAAUCACCACAGCGAUGAAUUAUCCAGCAGCUCUUGUUAUCAUCCCAUUAUUAUCAUAUUCCCCAAUUUCAUGGAAGAACUCGCCGAAUCACAAGAUACCUCUUUUACAGAGAAAAAAUAAAUUCAGAAGCAGACAACAAAGCCUACUCACCAUUACACUAAUCAACUGUCCAAUGAUAGAUUGAAAGCAACAGUCUUGAACCCACUCCUCAUCACUCCCAGACGCUUCUCUCUUCAUUCUCGAUCCAGCAGUCCGCUCCUGCAAUCUCCGACUCUGCUUUGACCCUUUAGUCAGCUGAUUAUCGAGUGGGUUGACGACUUCCUGCUGUUGAAGAAGAAGAAUAACAAAAAAUGAAGCUUUCGCCGAGAGAAGUGGAGAAACUUGCGCUCCACAACGCAGGAUUCCUCGCCCAGAAGCGCCUAGCUCGUGGCCUCAAGCUCAAUUACACCGAAUCCGUUGCUCUUAUUGCUUCUCAGGUUCUUCCUUUUCGUCCCGUUCAAAGGUUUAGUUUCAAUAUUGGGCAGCUUUAGAAUUUUACUAGUAGUAGAGAACUGUUGGAUCCAUUUAACUCAAGUUUUCAUUUUGUACAAUAUUCCUCAAUACGCAGCCUCGAAUGAGAGAGUUUCGAAACUGAAGUUUACAAAGGUUCACUAAGCCUUGUUUGUUUGGGGGCUAAGAAGACUUGAUCCCAAUAACUCUGACUUGUUGGGAGAGAUUUCAGAAAGAACUAGUUCUAGUGUAACAAGAUGGGAGAUUGGUGGGGUUCUUUAGGAAUAAUGUAACAAUGAUUUUGGUGUGUUUUUUUUUUCUUAUUCUUCUUCUCGGGUUGUAGAUUUUGGAGUUUGUAAGAGAUGGUGACAAGAGUGUAGCAGAGCUUAUGGAUGUUGGGAGACAGCUUUUAGGAAGGUACAAUCUGCUUGUGUAAAGACUGUUCAAUAUACAUUAUGUGCUUGCUAUCUUGAGUAAUAUGAUUCCCCUUCUUUCUCCAGUAUGUACUGCAAACUUGCAGUUUUUUGUAUAUCUUAGCUACAGGAAGAAUGUCUAAAUGUGUUGCUAUCUUAAGUUAUCUGAUUCCCUUUUCUUUAUCUAGCAUGUGCUGAAAAUUGCAGUUUUUGUGCAUACUUGACUACAGGAGACAAGUGCUUCCAGCAGUUCCCAAUUUGCUUCAUUCUGUACAGGUACUUCAGAAAACCAACAUAUGUGUAACUGGUUUUUUUAAUUAGUUACAGCUUCAUUUAACGAACCAUUUGUACAAAAUCAAAAUUACAAGGAUGUCUCUAAUCGAACUUUUACAACCUUCCCUGGCAAUCAUCUUCCUAGCAAGCAACUAUUGUGUAGUCUCAUGGAGUUGAUUUUGAACUCUGUAGGUUGAAGGCACUUUUCCUGAUGGAACCAAGCUUAUAACUGUUCAUGAUGCUAUUGCUUGCGAGAAUGGGGAUCUCCAGCUGGCUCUGCACGGCUCUUUUCUCCCAGGUAAGUGCUGAAUUCUUGUAUGUGGAUUGACCAAGCUUUCUGUAUUUUGACCGAAAGAAACAAUUUCUGCAGUGCCUUCAACCGACAAGUUCCCCGGAAUCGAAAAGGCCGAAUUCCCCGGAGAGAUAAUCUACGGGGAGGGGACCGUAACUCUGAACCUAGGAAGGAAAGCUGUGAUCUUGAAAGUUGUUAAUACAGGAGACAGGCCGGUUCAGGUUGGCAGCCAUUAUCAUUUCAUCGAGACGAAUCCUUACUUACUCUUUGACCGGCUGAAGUCACUCGGGAUGCGCCUCAACAUACCUGCAGGAACGGCUACUCGAUUCGAGGUUCUGUGUUUAUUUGCUAAGUGUUGUUUUGUGGAUAGUUUUCGUGUUCUUGGUCGGUUGAUUUGUUUUGUGGUGUUGUUUAGCCAGGGGAAUGCAAGAGUGUUGUACUUGUUAGCAUUGCGGGCAAGAAGGUGAUCAGAGGUGGAAAUGGCAUCGUCGAUGGUCCUGUUAGCGAUUCCAGUAACGCUGUUGUAUUGGAGGUUAUAAAUAGCAGAGGAUUCGGGCAUAAAGAAGAAGCGAAUGCCAGGUUCUAACUAUGAACUCCUUUCUCCUCACUUUUCUACCAAUUCGGGCAGGAAUUGGAGUUGGAAUCGGGGCGGAAAUGAACCUAGCAAUGUUGGAAUGUUGGAUGGCAAUGAAAAAGUUCCCUCCCGAAAUCACUCCAUCGGGAUCUAACUUUUCUGCCCGAGCGAAAAAAUUCUCAAAUUUCUAUCCAACUUUCUACCCGUCAAACCGGUCAAUGACUAGAAUCGUAAGAAGAUCAACUAUACGAAGUUCGAACUAGAUUUGUCACACCUUCCAAAACUGUUUCUGCAGGGAAGGCACAACCGGGGAGGAUCCUGCUUUCACCACCGUCGUUCCUCGCGAGAUGUACGCUAACAUGUAUGGUCCCACAACCGGAGACAAGGUCCGUCUAGGGGACACGAAUCUCUACGCCGAGAUCGAGAAGGACUUUGCCGUGUUUGGCGAUGAAUGUGUGUUCGGAGGUGGGAAAGUCAUCAGAGAUGGAAUGGGACAGUCCGCUGGACAUCCACCGGCGGAAUCUCUCGAUACGGUUAUAACGAACGCUGUGAUCAUUGACUACAGUGGAAUCUACAAGGCUGACAUUGGCAUCAAAGGAGGCCACAUUGCUGCCAUUGGCAAAGCCGGAAACCCUGACGUCAUGGAUAGUGUUCAUGGCGACAUGAUCAUUGGUGUAAGCUUCCCACCCUAACCAUGGUACCCAAAAGAUUUGUUGAUGGUGACAAUAUGACUUGUUGGUCAGGUUAACACAGAGGUAAUUGCUGGAGAGGGGAUGAUCAUAACCGCAGGAGCGAUCGACUGUCACGUCCACUUCAUCUGUCCUCAGUUAGCACAUGAAGCAAUCUCGAGCGGUAAAGAUUCGAUACGUUACGUACAUUGCUCGAAAUCCUUGCACCCUGGAUCUUGAAAUCUGACGGCUAGAAAUGUGUACUUAGGCAUUACAACACUCAUUGGUGGUGGAACUGGACCUGCCGACGGCACACGCGCAACUACUUGCACUCCUGCUGCUUCACAAAUGAAGCUUAUGCUGCAAUCCACUGAUAACAUGCCUCUCAAUUUCGGCUUCACUGGAAAGGUAACGCUCGAAACUUCCAAGUGUCCUUUAUUUGAUCUCUUUUCGUAUGCUGAUUUCGAUUCCAGGGUAAUGCCGCGAAACCUGAAGAGCUCCACGACAUAAUUAAAGCCGGGGCAAUGGGACUGAAACUGCAUGAAGACUGGGGAACUACUCCAGCUGCAAUAGACAAUUGCUUAGCUGUAGCGGAUGAAUACGAUAUCCAGGUCGGUCUGAAGUUGCGAUAAAUUGGGUUUUCAGUACAGGUUUGAAGGCUUAAUUCCUCCAAUUUUUUCGCCAGGUUAACAUUCAUACUGACACCUUGAACGAGUCUGGAUUUGUGGAGCACACUAUUGCUGCGUUUAAAGGAAGGACCAUUCAUACAUAUCACAGGUAGCUUGCAGCACAAGUUUCAUCUUGUAUCUCAGUGUCUUGGUAGCCAAGUGACUAAUUCCGGCCCGAAAGCUGUUUGACAGUGAAGGUGCAGGUGGUGGCCAUGCUCCAGACAUUAUCAAAGUGUGCGGUGUUAAGAACGUCCUUCCUUCGUCAACGAAUCCCACGAGACCUUUCACUUCGAAUACGAUCGACGAGCAUCUCGACAUGUUGGUGAGUUGAUGAUUCUCAGACAUAUUGUGUAUUAACCACAGAAGGGUUUGUGAAAAAUGUUUUUGCUUUUUGCAGAUGGUUUGCCAUCACCUUGACAAGGACAUACCCGAAGACGUAGCUUUCGCUGAAUCGAGAAUUCGAGCUGAGACAAUUGCUGCAGAGGACUUAUUGCAUGAUAUGGGGGCAAUCAGCAUCAUAUCUUCUGAUUCACAAGCCAUGGGCCGGAUCGCAGAGGUAUACUUUUACAUUUUCGUAAACCCGGUUCACCGGAUUUCAAGCUAAUGUCCGGUUUUGCUCUCUACACAAGGUCAUAAGCAGAACAUGGCAGACUGCCCACAAGAUGAAAUCACAGAGGAGAACGAUUGACCCUGCUGGAUCAGACAACGAUAACUUGCGAAUCAAGCGAUAUGUUGCUAAGUAUACCAUAAACCCAGCCAUAGCAAAUGGAGUUGCAGAACACAUUGGUUCAGUCGAGGUAAUUCUCGAUUCGAGUAAAUUACCUGAGUUGAGUACGAAAGAACCACUGAUCCGCUUUUUGUAGGUCGGAAAAUGGGCUGAUCUUGUUCUGUGGCAACCCGCAUUCUUCGGAGCUAAACCGGAGAUGGUGAUCAAAGGUGGUGUCAUUGCAUGGGCUAACAUGGGUGACCCGAAUGCAAGCAUCCCAACACCUGAACCGGUUAGAAAAUCACUAUUUUACAAAUCCUGAACCUAAAAGGGCUCGCCCGACUUAAUGGCGUGUAACAACGUAUAUGAUUCGCUGCAGGUGAUCUCGAGGCCAAUGUUUGGAGCAUUUGGCAAGGCCGGAAGUGAAAACUCCAUUGCCUUCGUCAGCAAGGCAGCCUUAGAUAAUGGAGUCAAAGCCUCAUACGGGCUUGACAAGCGAGUCCAGGCCGUGGGGAACGUGAGGAAGCUAACGAAACUCGACAUGAAGCUCAACGAUUCACUCCCGGAAAUUACAGUCGAUCCCGAGACUUACACUGUCACAGCUAAUGGUGAAGUUUUAACUUGCCCUGCUGCCACUACAGUUCCUCUUUCAAGGAACUACUUCAUGUUCUAGGUAAUCAAUGCUAUUAUCCCUAGUUUUCUCAAUUGAUGAGAAAAUCUACUUGUAUCUCCCCAUUGAAAAUAUCGAAACUAGAACACGAUUUCGUUUGUUAUAUUGUACUCAAAUAAAGGCGAAAAUUUGUGUUUUGAGUCUAUAGCUUGGCUGCUGACAUCAUGACAAGCUUUGUCAAGUCUUUCCUGAGAAUCUUGCCUUGUGCAUUCUUUGGUAAGGAUGGGAUGAACAAUACUCUACGUAUCCUCUUGUAUGGUGCAACCUAACGAAGAAAAUGAAGGAAUCACUGUAAUUUUUUUCAUAUGGUGUUAAAUCGCUACGACAAUGAACACGAAAUUAAAUACCUGAUUCGCUACAAAACUCUUGAUAUCUGAUUCGCUCACGGUGCUUCCAUUCUGUCUUGCCACGAACGCUACCGGAACUUGGCCUGCUAUUUCAUCAGGAAACCUGCAAAAAAUCCGAGAUCAGACUAAUGUUUUCAUUUACUAAUGUCAACGAAAUGAAAGCUUGAAUGGACUUCUUACGGGACGACUGCUGCCUCGAGAAUUUCCGGAUGUGACUGAAGCAGAUGCUCAAGCUCAGCUGGAGCUACCUAAUUCAAUAACUCUCAUGAUAUCAAAACGCACAAAUCCAAUACUCGAGUUCCUGCAAAAUUCGUACUGUUUAUGAAACGAACCUGAUAGCCUCUGCAUUUGAUCAGUUCCUUAAUCCUGUCGACCACGAACAGGAACCCUUCAUCGUCGAUGUAGCAGAGGUCUCCAGUUCUCAGCCAUCCUUCCGAAUCCAAAGCUCUAACAGUUGCUUCCUCGUCGCCAACAUAGCCUGCAAGCAUCAUUACAGGAACCAGAAUCCUUGUCCCAUCAGGAUAACGAUUCGGUUAUUCGAAUUCUUUCCGAAUGAAUGUCAUGAACAAGAAUUCAUUAUCAUUACCCUUCAUAAUGGUUGGCCCUCUCACCCAAAGCUCUCCAGCUUUACCAGGAGGCAGCGAAAUUCCAGUUUCAGGAUCAACAAUUUUCGCUUCACAGCUGGGACAUAGCUUCCCUGUUGCGCCUCCCACCUUACUCUCCGUUGAUCCCACCGUCGUAAACAUCCCCCCCGUCGUUUCCGUCAACCCAUAAGCCUUCACGUACAAUCCCAGCCGUUCAUUUUUUUUUUAUAAAAAUUAAGAAAAGAUAAAUGAAUAAUUUUUUUGCCUUACCUGGACGAGCAGAGCACUUGGAAACAGCUUGGCAAAGAGCGCGGCUGCAUCUCUACCCAGUGGAGCGCCGCCGCAGGCUACAACUUCCAGAGAGCUCAAAUCGUAGCCGGCCAUCACUUUCCGAUCUUCUUUGAUCAGAGAAAUUACGAGCGGUGGCGCUGCCGCCACGUGGCUAACACGAUGUUCCUGGAUCGCUUUCAGCAUCUUCUUCAAUUCUAUUCUCUCCAUCGACACCAGCGUUUCUCCGAAGGCAACCGUCCGGAGACACAGAGCGAAUCCGUAAAUGUGGAAAAACGGCACCGUCGAUAGGCAUACCGCCGCAGGCUGAGAAGAUUUUCUUUCCGGCCGACUGGCGUGAACAGCGGCCACCACUGAUGUGAAGUUACCGUGAGUUAACAGCACUCCUUUGGUUCUUCCAGUCGUUCCGGAUGAGUAGAGGAUCGCUGCCGGAUCUGAUUGGUAGAUGGUCACCGGCUCUUUGUUGAGCUCGCCGUAUCCGGAUUCUGUGGAGAUCGCUAGGGAUUCGAACUCGAUCGAGUCGAUUAGAACUGUCCUCACGACGGAGGGGAUUUUACGAGCUAGAGAGGAUGUCGCGAAUGCGAUUCUAGGUUUGGACAAGCUGAGGAGGUGGAGAAUCUCCUGCUUCGAGCUCGCCGGAUUGGCCGGAGAUACGACGGCGCCGAUGGACAGGAGGGAGAGGUAAAGGAUCGGGAUGUCGAUUGAGUUGGAAGAGAGGAUCAAAGCCGCGUCUCCCUUCCUCAGCCCGAGGUCCCGGCGGAGGGAAGAGGCUAGCGUGCUGACACGCGGAGCGAGUUCCGCAAAAGAAAUGCGGCGGCCGGUAACGGCGUCGACGAGAGCGGAAGCGGUUGAUGGUGGCGGAGGGGAGGAGUUGAGGAGGUAGAAGAUGAAAUCGACGAAGGAGAGUGAUGCUGCAGAUGUCGACGGCGGAACGGGGGGCCUGAGACUGUGGUAGGCCGUGGUCUCUGAACAGAAGCCGCUUCUGGGAUCAAUUGGCAUUUUACAAGGUUGAAAGCUAAUGAUUGGUCUCGGUAGCGUAAUGUACAGAGUGAUAGGAGGAGGAGGAAGAAGGUCCACCCAACAGCGACUGAAUCGUGUUAUUGAUUUUUUAAAUUAUUUUAAAGUUUUUAAGACAAUUAAAAAUAUAUAUUAAACUUAGAAAACUAUAAAAAGUAUCUUUUGUGAUAGGAUAACGUUAAGCUUCUUUGGUUUUGGUUAAUAAUUCAAAAAAAAUCAUGGUUUUGGGUUGGUUUAUCGUUAACCAAAACCCAAUAAAGAUACCAUAAUACUAAUUCAAAUCCAAGUAGUCUCAAUUUGGAUUUGUUUCCAGUGUCACUGCCCAUACAAAACUUGUAAUCCUGCAAGACCAUCAUCAUAACAUCAUUCAUAUUUUAUGAUUUCAGUAUCUCAUGCAACUAAUUUAUGUAGCUAAGUACAUCCCAACUCAUCAGUCACAUUGAUAUUUGUAGUUGAAAAUUGUUACAAUAAUAGUUAUGUUGUGAAAUUAAGGGAAUUUAUCCCUCCUUAUUGGCUUUGNNNNNNNNNNNNNNNNNNNNNNNNNNNNNNNNNNNNNNNNNNNNNNNNNNNNNNNNNNNNNNNNNNNNNNNNNNNNNNNNNNNNNNNNNNNNNNNNNNNNNNNNNNNNNNNNNNNNNNNNNNNNNNNNNNNNNNNNNNNNNNNNNNNNNNNNNNNNNNNNNNNNNNNNNNNNNNNNNNNNNNNNNNNNNNNNNNNNNNNNNNNNNNNNNNNNNNNNNNNNNNNNNNNNNNNNNNNNNNNNNNNNNNNNNNNNNNNNNNNNNNNNNNNNNNNNNNNNNNNNNNNNNNNNNNNNNNNNNNNNNNNNNNNNNNNNNNNNNNNNNNNNNNNNNNNNNNNNNNNNNNNNNNNNNNNNNNNNNNNNNNNNNNNNNNNNNNNNNNNNNNNNNNNNNNNNNNNNNNNNNNNNNNNNNNNNNNNNNNNNNNNNNNNNNNNNNNNNNNNNNNNNNNNNNNNNNNNNNNNNNNNNNNNNNNNNNNNNNNNNNNNNNNNNNNNNNNNNNNNNNNNNNNNNNNNNNNNNNNNNNNNNNNNNNNNNNNNNNNNNNNNNNNNNNNNNNNNNNNNNNNNNNNNNNNNNNNNNNNNNNNNNNNNNNNNNNNNNNNNNNNNNNNNNNNNNNNNNNNNNNNNNNNNNNNNNNNNNNNNNNNNNNNNNNNNNNNNNNNNNNNNNNNNNNNNNNNNNNNNNNNNNNNNNNNNNNNNNNNNNNNNNNNNNNNNNNNNNNNNNNNNNNNNNNNNNNNNNNNNNNNNNNNNNNNNNNNNNNNNNNNNNNNNNNNNNNNNNNNNNNNNNNNNNNNNNNNNNNNNNNNNNNNNNNNNNNNNNNNNNNNNNNNNNNNNNNNNNNNNNNNNNNNNNNNNNNNNNNNNNNNNNNNNNNNNNNNNNNNNNNNNNNNNNNNNNNNNNNNNNNNNNNNNNNNNNNNNNNNNNNNNNNNNNNNNNNNNNNNNNNNNNNNNNNNNNNNNNNNNNNNNNNNNNNNNNNNNNNNNNNNNNNNNNNNNNNNNNNNNNNNNNNNNNNNNNNNNNNNNNNNNNNNNNNNNNNNNNNNNNNNNNNNNNNNNNNNNNNNNNNNNNNNNNNNNNNNNNNNNNNNNNNNNNNNNNNNNNNNNNNNNNNNNNNNNNNNNNNNNNNNNNNNNNNNNNNNNNNNNNNNNNNNNNNNNNNNNNNNNNNNNNNNNNNNNNNNNNNNNNNNNNNNNNNNNNNNNNNNNNNNNNNNNNNNNNNNNNNNNNNNNNNNNNNNNNNNNNNNNNNNNNNNNNNNNNNNNNNNNNNNNNNNNNNNNNNNNNNNNNNNNNNNNNNNNNNNNNNNNNNNNNNNNNNNNNNNNNNNNNNNNNNNNNNNNNNNNNNNNNNNNNNNNNNNNNNNNNNNNNNNNNNNNNNNNNNNNNNNNNNNNNNNNNNNNNNNNNNNNNNNNNNNNNNNNNNNNNNNNNNNNNNNNNNNNNNNNNNNNNNNNNNNNNNNNNNNNNNNNNNNNNNNNNNNNNNNNNNNNNNNNNNNNNNNNNNNNNNNNNNNNNNNNNNNNNNNNNNNNNNNNNNNNNNNNNNNNNNNNNNNNNNNNNNNNNNNNNNNNNNNNNNNNNNNNNNNNNNNNNNNNNNNNNNNNNNNNNNNNNNNNNNNNNNNNNNNNNNNNNNNNNNNNNNNNNNNNNNNNNNNNNNNNNNNNNNNNNNNNNNNNNNNNNNNNNNNNNNNNNNNNNNNNNNNNNNNNNNNNNNNNNNNNNNNNNNNNNNNNNNNNNNNNNNNNNNNNNNNNNNNNNNNNNNNNNNNNNNNNNNNNNNNNNNNNNNNNNNNNNNNNNNNNNNNNNNNNNNNNNNNNNNNNNNNNNNNNNNNNNNNNNNNNNNNNNNNNNNNNNNNNNNNNNNNNNNNNNNNNNNNAAAAUUAUUAAUUUUCAAAAGGGUAUAAAUAGAUAAUUUUUAUUAAAAAAAUUAAAAUUUUUAAAUCAAUAUACAUAUUAAAAAUGAUUAAAAAUAAAAACCAAACAUUAAAAAUGUACUCAAUAUUAUUUGAACAUGUUGAUAAAUAUUUUUAAUUUUAUUUGAUUAUUAUUUGAAGAGGGGAUUUGAUUGUUUGUGAGGCUUUGACAGCCUAGUAAAAACUGGGGUAGCAGAGGAAGGGCAUUGAGGUAAUAAUGCAACUUUCCUACCGUGCAGCUGGUGAAAUAAAUGGAGAAUGAGAAGUAAUAAGAUUGCUGGAUACCCAAGUACAAUCUGCUCAUAUUGAUCCAUUGACAUACAUGUAUACAGCACAUUUUCCAUUAGAUUGUGAAAAUACUCCACUAAACUGAAGCCAACUCACAGCAGCGACACAGGCUACCUCAGAGAAGAAAGCUCCAGUUGCCAACUUUACCACCUCCGCACCAGGCCAUGGUUAUAUGCACGAACAACGGAAACGGCACAACAAUUAACAGAAGAUUUUGAGGGUGAAGAUUCCAAUAAGGUCUCCGAAAUGGAAUUUGUUCAAGACACGUUUACCAUUCAAAAAGAGCAAUGAAAUGCAACAGAGGAUGUUUAAAAGAAAGCCCAAGGGCUGACGUAGUAGACUCCCCGUCUUCUUUAUCAUACUUGUCGGUAACCAAAUGAAGAGAUUCGCAACCGACUCAUCGAGCUAGACCGUCGAGCAAGGUUCACCCCACAUGAUUAAGUAUGAUCUCUACAUGACAAACAAUGGGAGAAAGAACUGCAAGCUUCUACAGGAAUACAUCAGGCAGUUAAGGCUUAGAAGUUUACCCAUUCCAAUGCUAAAACGGAAAAAGCACUAUCAAUGAGAUAAAUCAUUUUAAGUCCAAUAUAUCAUUUCAGCUGAAACAUGCAGGGCAGCAUCUUGUUGCUCUUUUACAUGCGCCCAAUUUCUGAGUCCUAAUCGUAUACUAGACUAAUCGCAGAACGGGGUUAAGGUCCAAAGAUGAAAGCUGCUCUAUAUCCACACCAAAUAGACAGAGAACAUACAAAGGAUGGCCAAGGAAGAGCAGGAGUUGAGAUCCAAAGAUGACACCCCGACAAUUUAUAAGAGCACACAAAUUAGACAAAGCAGACGCAGGCGAUAAUUGGAAGACAAUCUCGAAAGGAAAUGCAGCACAAUCUGAAGUGCAGGCAGAGAUGAGAAUAUGAAUCGACAUACAGGGUAUUGAACCAAGGGUUAUCGUGUACCUCUACUUGGCCAUGUAGACAGUUAAUUGAAAGUUCUAUUAGGGUCCGCAGUAUGCAGGUAACCUCCGGAACCUGCUUGCUUUUGGUACUGCAUUUGGAUCAGCAAAAGGUGUCAUUAAACAGUUCUCAGUGACAAAUGGACAAAUCAAGUUUUCACACAGUACAGUGUAAGCAUAACAAAGAACAAGAUUCAACCACAUGAGCAAUAAUCUUUCACACAUAAGACUGCACGCAAUUUUCGUUCUCACUAUCAGUUAGAUAAGUCAUUAGAAUAAGACACGAUGGCACAUGCUAUGUACACGUUGCGUUUGAAAAAGUGUUUUAACUCGAUGAAGCACAGUCUAAACGACAUGUGUGUCUUGAAGACAAAUCGCCUAGAGGCUGGCUUCAAACUUAACAAAUCAAGUAAAGCAAAACUUGAUCAGAACUCCCAUUAACAGCUGUAUUGCCUGGCAGAACACUAACAUACAGCAGUACAUUACAGGAAACACCGAGGAAAUUUGUAGGAACUACACACUGACCGCAUAACCAAGAUCGAAGUGAACUAAAAACAAACAUCGGGAACGAAACCCUAAAACAAGGUGGAACAAUUCAAAUGAUAAUUGAUGAAGCCGAAAGGGAAAAAUCGUAUACUCCACAGAAAUACAUGCAUCAGAUCAAAUUGAAACAGAAACUACCCUAAUUAAUUAACAAACAGCACAAUGUCCAUCCAGGACAGGAAGGCAACCAAAUCUUAGGACUUACCUCUGACGAAUCAUGUUUACUGGGUAUUCUUCAUCAAUGAAAACGCUAAGAACGUCUCCUCCGCUUCAAACCAACAGUCUCUUGCAAACACAAUGUGAAUAUUAAAAGAGAUAUAACAGGCAGCUGGCAACAAACCAUAGUCUCAAAUCUUAAAAACCAAAUUUUGAUAGAAGUGUUUACAAUGUACCAAUGGAAAUAUGUUACAUACACUCAUUCAGCUGAAACUGAUUUUUCGAAAGAAGAAAAGCCAUUAUGCCACACCUUGCUUAGCAAGCGGUGUCACAGAUGGAUAUCUAUAAGCUUGAUAACCUUGAUGAUGAACUCAACCUGCAACACAACUACUUGAUGGCAGGAUCCAAGUAACUUCCGCAAUCAAAACACCAGAUGAGCCAGCUAAAAAACAGUGUGAAUGACCGUCUGAUAAUCAAUGUUUGCAACUUCCCUUCAGUUGUUACCCCUCACCUCAACCUUGCAUUGUGUCAACAAUAUGUUAUCGUGAUUGACGGAGAGGGCCAGGAGAAGGAUUAUCUAGCCAAAUAACCCGCCAGUUCCUAAUUCUGCUUGCCGCAGCUCUUUCCGACGUUGUUCUUCCAGUGGAUCUGGGCUCUUCAUUACUCUCCGUAGACGUCUAUUCAUAAAUAAAAAACAAUAUUUAAAACAAAAGUUGUAAGAAAUUCUUUUGAACAGAAGCUUCUAGAUAUCUCUAUUACCUGUCUUGUGCAUGUUGAGCAGGGAAUGUUGGCAUGAAAUCUUUGGACUUAGGAAGAGGUACUUCACGAAACCACUCGUGAUUUAGUGCAGCAUCAACAGUUAUUCGCUGAAAAAUAUUAACAGAAGACCUUAGUAUAAAGUCAUAAUUAUUGGAUCUAGGCAGGAAAACACAGUUAACCUACGCGUACCUUCUCAGGGUCAUAGGUAAGCAGUUUGUUUAACAGAUCAAACCCGGCAUCAGAGAGCACUGGAGAUCCAGUGAAAGAUGUUGCUGGAAACUUUUUACGUAGCAGGUUAUACCUGAAAUAAGUAGGUGAGAUGGUUAAUUAAGAGCAGGAUCGCAAAUGUCUUAACUGAAAAUUUCACUGUAGAUGCCAGAUCACCAGGACCAUAAUCACCCAACUGGGAGCCUGGGAAAACAGCAACAGGAAUAAGAAUGAAUGGCUCUUAUGAUAAGUUUGAAUUAGAUAUAAGAAAAUAAGAUACUUACUGAUGCUUAACGAAAUUAACCUUGACUCUUGGUAGCUUCGAAAACCCAGGCCAGAUGGUUUCAUUUGGAGUACCAAGGAUCCGGAAAAUCUGAAAUUCAGUAAAAAGAAGUGUCAGCUAGAAAACAAACUACUGCAACCAUCAGGGAAUCAAGGUAUUCUUUGAGAUAACUUACCUUGUCAAGUUGAUCAACCUCUGUUUUGCCAUUGAACAAAGGUUGUUUUGAUAGCAUUUCAGCCAUAAUACAGCCCAACGACCACAUGUCAAUUGCUGUUGAAUACUGCUCAGCUCCAAGAAGAAGUUCAGGCGCCCUGAAAGUUAACACAAUGGAAUCAGACAACAAUCUCUUAGUCCCAAGCCGCAAAAACAGACAUGUAUUAUCUGAGUGCAUGCACGUGACAUUUUGUGAAGUUUCAAGGUGACCCGAGAUUUAUAAAACUGACAAAACUUGAAGAGUAAUAAAAUAAAGAUGACAGAACUACUGCUUACCUGUACCAAAGAGUAACCACCAUGUGAGUAUAUGGCUUCAAUGGGCUCCCAUAUUGACGAGCCAACCCAAAAUCACAGAUCUUCAACUCACCCCGGUUGUUUAGUAGUAUAUUUGACGUCUUCAGAUCCCGAUGAAGCACCCAGUUAUCAUGCAAAUACUUUGUACCCUCCAAAAGCUGCAACAUUAAGCAUUUAACUUCACUCUGACUAAAUGGCUGCUUCAUUGACUCCAUGAGUCCUUUCAGAUCAUGCUCCAUAUACUCCAUCACCAUAAAAAUGCUAUCCAGACUACUACCUACCACAACCUCUUUGACGUCAACAAUAGAAGGAUGAUGAAAGGAAAGGAGAAUGUUUAUCUCCCUCAAAGAAGUAAGAGGAAAACCUUCUCGUUCUUUCUCCAUUUUUACCUUUUUCAAGGCCACAACUUCGCCACUUUUCUUAUCUUUAGCUCUAAAUACAACACCAUAUGUACCUUCAUCUAUCUUAUUAAGUCUCUCAAACUCAUCAACACUCCUACAGCCCCUAAGCAUGCUUAUACUUCUCUGAGGAGGACCAGCUGGUUCUGGUGUGUCUCUAGAACUGUCAUCAUCGUCCGAAUCAGUAUCUAAGUGGCCAUUGUUUCUAUCCUUGUACUCUCGAUCCCCGUCAACCUCCAUAUAUUCAUCCCUCUCAGAAUCAUUAUUAGGAUACUCGUCUCUACUUGAAGAUCUAGGACGAGAUCCAGGUUCAUCAGAAGCUGAUGACCUACCAUUGGCUCCAUCAGACCCUUCUCUCUUCAGGUCGCCAAGCUCAGGAGUCACCGACUUACUUCGCACUUUGGAAUCAGAUGAGUCUGGAUACGGCACCUUCUUCCUUCUUCUAGGCAUUUCCUGAUCUUCCACAAUUUCACCUUCAUCAACUGGAGAGUUGUUCCCAGCUGCCCAUCUUGAGGAUGAUAUAUGCCGAGUUGGGACAUAAUCUUCAUCUUCUAAAUCCCCUGGCUGGAGGCCCUGAUACUGUUUGGGAUCAUCCGACAUUAACAUCGGAGCAUCAGGUUCUACAUGAGACUCGUGGUCGCCUGAAGGUUUAGCGUAUGGAUCCUUGACAGGAGACGAUGACUGCGAGUUGCAAUUCUUAUAACUUCUGGCGGGCGAUAUACCCACAGAUACCUCUCCAUUAGCAACAGAUAAUUCACGUGGUAGCUUAGGGAUGGGAAGGGGAGGUGGAGGAGGAAGAGCUGUUACCCCCUCCUUCGGAACCCUUGUUUCUGAUGAAUUACUCACUGCAUUAGCAUCCCUAUCCCACACAAUAGGAGAAAACUUCCUCUUCUUCUCCACAUGAGCUUUUGUUUCCCCAUUCUCUACCACCUUUGAAACCUCCCUGUCUUCAUAGACCUGUGAUCCCGACUCGAUCCCACCAUCAGACCCACUAUCACUAGACAAUUCGCCAGGCUCUUUAUCCACUGCCUUAGCUGCAGAGUCACACCGACGGGGUCCCCUGACACCUUCACGGCCACCACUACCACUACUGCCUGAAUUACUCCUGCUAGAUGAACAACGGUUCACACCGUUGACAACUUCCCUCUCCUUCGUAUCUCUCUGCCUAACUCUACCAUUAGACCUAUCCUUCAAGUCACGAACUCUCACACGAUCACGAUCAUAUUCUCGAUUACCGUUCCCAAUCCUAUCAAACCUCUCCUUAGAGUACCCCGAAUCCUUCCUUGACAGCUCAAAUCCCGCCUCCCGUUCCCUUAACUCGUAAUCACGGUACACUCCAGGCCUCCCAGCCGCCAUGGAUUAAAUCGAACACAACCCAAAUACUCCAACACAACUCCCAGCAACGAAACCCUAAACCCGCCCAAGUCAAUAAACAACCAACAGCGAGAUACAAGCAGGAAUCUCGAGCGAAGUAACUUCGAGAAUGAAGCACAGAAAGUAAAUCGCAGAAUCGAAUGAACGAGCACAGAUCUUCAAAUCGAAACCCUAGGGGAAUUGAGAGACCCCCAAAGCAAGCAAACAAGCGAUAACCAAAUUGACGAUCUCGAUUGAGCUCGAGUACGAUUGAUCGGAGAUCAGAGAUCUCGGAUGAUUGGUUUGAGGGGCGCGUACCCGAUUAGAGCAGGGUGGAAAAGGCGGCGAGUCGUUGAAUAUUAAGAGAGAAUCGCAAAAGGUCGGGCUCCCAAUCGAUGAAAGAGGGAAAGACGAUAAUAGCAAGGCUUAAAGGGAAUAUAAAUAGAGGGCGGAACGGGAAUGGAUUUUACAAUUCUGUCCUUGUUACCCGCUCCGUUGCCCGAAACCGGUUUGGUGUUCUGUAUAUGGGAGUCAAAUCGGUGGCUGACCCAAUUCAUUUUAAUUUGUUUACAUCUUUAAACAUUUUCAUUAAAAACAAUUUAUAUACUCCAGUUUGAUUCAACUCAAUUAGAAGUUAUCUGUCCGGUUUGAUAGUAUUUGUUACGAGACCAUUUGAACCCAUAAUACGACGAACAAGUCUCCCGGUCUGACAAAAAUCCAACUCAUAACUCGCCCAAUCCGAAAGUUAGAUGAACUCACCCCAAUUCAAAACCGCUCGGAGUACUUAAGCCAUUAUCCGAGCGGCCAUACCUAAUAAACCCGCAACGCAAUAAACACACAACCCGGUCUACUCAUACCCGAUUCCCAACCUACCCGUUUCACGUACAAUGAUACAAUCCACAUUGUAACAAGUUCAAAUUCUUAUACAAAGAACAUCCAUAAUAAGGGACCGGUGUUCAAUAAUACAGAGAAAAAUACUGAUAAUAUUACAAUGGUGGAAAGCUUCUUUCAGCCAUUUGAUGUCUCUCCAUCACCAGCAAAGAGAAGGGAGUUUGAAGGAGAAAGAAGAAGGCAAAUGACCGUUCCUUCUAAUGUAAUCAGCCCUCUCCGAUGUCCUCACGUCCUUCUCGUUCAGUUUCGCCUCCGCAUUUGCUCGCUUCUCCUCGGCCACUCUCUUCGUGGUUGCCAACUUGUUCGCCAGCUUCUCUUGUGCUCGAGCCUUCAUCCUCUCCGCUUUCACCUAUGCGAUUACAAGAUCGAACCAAACUUAUAUCACACAUUGCUAGGAUACGAGUCACGACGUAUGUUGUUGUCUCAUAAGCCCUAACACAACCCACCCUCCGAUUUCGAGGGGAAUGUAAUGUAUAAGCUUACCUCCAUCUUUCGCAUUUCCAUCUCUGCUUUCCUUUUCUCAUGAUUCUCCCAUGCUUGAAUCCUCACCUCUUCCCUCUUAUACCUACCAAUCACCACAAGAUCAUAGUCAGUAUUACCGAAAUUCGAUUGAGUCCUACGAAUGUUCUCCAUCGUAUCGACUCAAUUGCAUAUCAUAAAGUAUAGAUAGAGUACUAAAGUGUCGAAAUUAACUCGAUCUGUAACAAGUAUAUACAAGACCAAACUGAAACUAACCCGUGGUCAAUGCACCACGGUUUCAUGGCACCAUGAUCAAGGCUAGUGUGACCAAUUAAUGCCAGUGAGCCAAGGUAUCUCGACCAGGUGGCCAAGGUUAGUAGCCGUGGCUAGAAUUAGUGUCGAGGUUUCUCAACAUCGUGAGAUUUUUCAACACAUUGACCAAUGUCAACGUGCCAAGUGGUUUCACGACCUAUGGUCAAGAAUCAAGAGUCAAGACUAUCCGGUUUAUAAACCAACCAAAAACUCCAAUUAAGCCCUAAUUAAACAUAAUUAGUGAUUUAUUGAUUCACCUUGCCAUGUAUUUAGCACGCUCAGCUUCAUCCCAUGCGGCAGCUCUUGCUUCCAACGGAUUCACCGGAUUCCCGCCGUUACCGGAAUCCUCCAUUUUGAUCACACUAUUCAUUUCGCCGCCAUUCACCCUUCCUCCGCCACCGCCGCUGCUCGCCGGAAUUUGGUACCCAUCCUGAACAACAACACCACCACCACCGUGGUGGUGGUGCCCCGCCGCUCCUCUAACCGGCGUGGUCGACCCCGACGACAUCGGGCUCCUCGCCGCCGGCGUUGUCGCCCUGAUCGGCGUAGCAGACCUUGACGGCUCCUGACUAGCAAUCGGAGUCAUCUCCGUCCCCAUAUCCCUAACACAAAUCGACCGAAUCGCCGGAGGAGCAGCAGAGACGACCGGAUUAAUCGAACCGCCGGGAGCAGGCUUAUUAAUCCGCCAAAUCGACUCGUCGUCGCACUCGACUUUCUUCGUCCGAUCUCCUCCUCUCCGUCCAUCUCCUCCGCCGCUCGAAUACCCAUCCUCUUCCUCAUCAUCAUCAUCAUCCAGCUCCUGCUGCGGCACCGGAGCAAUCAACCGCCGAUCGUCGGCGUUCCAAUUCUCGGGGUGCGUGAGUUCGAUCCUUUCACCCCACCCUCCCAAAGGAUCUGAUUCUUAUCCCCUCCCCCUCCACCAGCGCCGCCUCUCGAUAACCCCACCAGCCAUUUCUGCGCGUCGUCCCAUUUGGACGGCGUCGGCUUCCCCAACGCGAUCCUGUGGUGCUGCUGACGGUGAUUAUUCCUAGCUGAAGAAGAAGUCUUGUCGGUUCUGCUACCUUUAUGAAACUCGAAGCUGAUUGCUCCAUUGCUGCUAGGAAUCUCUUGCUGAUUAUGAACCGGCGUCGUUGCUCCAUUGCUGUAGCAACUCUUAUCUUCUAUAGAUCUCAUCUUAAGAGAACCAGUUUCAACCAAUUACUCGAACCGAACAACUCGCUACCAAACCGGUUCGUCCCAAUUACUCAGACUUGAGCAACUACAGACGACUAGCUCGACUUCGUCCCCAAUAAAUCUCGACUCUUUCUGUCACUAGAGCUCAAAUGCAGCAAAACCCGAAUCUCAAAAGAACAGGUUCGUCCCAAUAACUCGAGCGAACCUGCAAAACCUGAAUCUCGAAGAACCAGUUUCCAGAACCUGAUAUGGAGGAUGAGAGAUUGGAUCCAAAGAGAAAGUAUCAGAUCUCAAAAGCUUGGUGAUUGGCAAUCUAGCCAAAGAUAGCUAGGUAAAUUGAUUCAAGAAAGAACAUGAGGAAGGUGAGAAGACACAUUUAACAGAGAGAGAGAGAGCUUGCUAGCUAGUGUUAAUGGCUCUGGAAGAAGACAGAUUUGAGCAGAGAACCCUACAAGAGAGACAGUUAUCUGAAACUGAAAGCUUUAAUUCUCUUAUUAUCAAGAAUUGAAGGGUGGGACUGGGAGGGGACCGGAGAAAUAGAGGGGUUUUUAAGAACAGUGGGGGGGGGGGGGGGGAAGUGUGUUUUUAAGGGGCCUUUACAGGAAAGGGAAAGUAUUUACUGGUACUGUUCAGUGAAGGGAACAGGGGAUGAGGGGGAAUGAUCUUAAUUUGCUCUCAAAACUAUGGAGGUGGAUGAGGGGGAAGAGGGAGAAAGACUGAAAGAGAAAGGUUUCAGAUCUCCAUUGAAGAAGGAUUAAAAUAGAGGCUUUUAGCAAAAGGUAGCAAGUCUCUGCAUGGUGGAAACUUGAGCCGGAGAAAAAAGAAAAACUUUAAAUAACUUCUUGCACUAGGAACCAGAAACUAGUCUAUUAACAUGAUUGCCACUAGUCGCUUCUCAUGAAUGGAAAGGGGAACGAAAUACAGGUGUACAGGUAAGUUGUAACGAAAUGAGGAAAGCUACUAGCUAGCUUGGGGCGGCUAAGGCCAUGGACUAGUAUAGCAUGGAAUAUCGUAGCUUAAUUUGUUUUUGGGAGGGAGAAGUAGUAUUGAAUUAAUUGAGGACCAAUGUUAGAGUUGACUCAUUUCUUUCACAAGCCAAGUAGUUUACUUCAAUUUAUAUAGUAUUGAGUUUGGUCGAAAAGGGCGCUAGGCUCUUCAUGCGUUGGAUCUAGAUAAACUUGGAUGAUAUUAGAUGGUGAUAAUGAGGAGAACGAUGGAAGAAGUGUCCUUUAUAUGUGGUGGAAUAGGAACGGAGUUUAAUUAGAUCAGAUUAUUCGUAAAGUGAAAUAUUGAAUUAGGUGUUUUCUACCUUAAAUAAUGAAAAUGUAGGAAUAAUAAGAGAAUCAAUGGAGUUAUUAGUAAGGUAAGGGUGGGUUAGGGGAUGACUUAGGAAUAUUAUUGAGGAUUUGAUCGGUUUAUUAUAAGGUAGGCAAUAGUCGAAUUAUGACAAAAUGAAGUGGAUAUGAGGUUUUUUACAUCAUGCUCUUUAUAUUCGAGCCGUUUGAUAGAAAUUUCGUCAUAGCUUUAUACUUAUGUAGCGUUAUAAGAUUAUUUGAUAAUAUAGCGAGUUUGUGACACUCAGUGUUACUUAUUAAGCUCAUUUAAACUUCUAAAUUAUAAAUCUGAUAAUCAAAUCGAUUCUAUGUUUAGAUCGAUUUUCGGAACACUAAAACCGAUUUAACGUCUAGUUCGAUUCCCACAACACAAUGAGGGAAAAUAGUACUAAUAUACUCCCUUGACGUUUGUAGCUAAACGGUUUCAGUCCACCGUCUAAAAGAAGAAGAUAGAACGCAGAGGUGCUGAAUUCACUUUUCUUUUUCUUUGAAAAGGCCGUUGGGCUACUUUAACGGUAACUGGGUACUACGGCGGGUAGUAAAAAGUAGGGGAAACACGUGGACGGUGGAGAUGAAGAGGUGGGCAUGGCAGUUGCAUAAUUAUGGGCUUGAUUGGAUAUUUUUAAAAAUAUCUUACGAUUUCUCUGAACCUUUUCACGUGGAACAUUAUGGGGAGUCUCUGAUUUGAAAUUGUUUUUUAGUGGCUGACUGACCAAAUUUCCAAUCAAAGCUUGCUGGAAAUUCUGGAGAUGAUGAAACCCUAAUUUUCUUUUUGGAUGCACAUGUAUGGGCUUGGCCAUUUCCAGAGUGAUUGGCCCACUGUUUGUAAUUAUUUAGUUGUUUGUGUACAUCACAAUCAUUGAUCAUAUAAUUAAGUUGAUGAGGAGUGGUAAAUUAAUUUAAUUCUGAGUGUCAAAUCAAUACACAUGAUAAUACUUUACAAGUGGCUAUAAGUCUUGUAUGGAAAUUUAACAUAUACAAAAACACAACUUGUAACAUCAACAUGCUUACCACUAUGAUUCUGGUUAAUAUCUUUAUUAGUUCAGCUGACACAUUGGAAAGCAUGGUGUGACCUAACCAAUAACGUAACUAAUUUAAAGAUAAGAAUGGUGGUAAAAACACACUUAGCUUGUUGGAAACACGAGUCUAAGAGUUUAAAAUGAAAAGGUCUAUUCUCUGAAGAGGACGACUACACAUGUGGCUUGUGCCCUACUACAUACCUACUGUCAGUGUCUUUAAAACGUUUGUCUGGGAUCAAACCCAGCAGCAGCAGCCAAUUUUGAUAUGCAUAUGUAUAGUAGUGAAAUCGUUAAUUUAAUGAUGAAAUUAAAAAGUAAUGUGAAAUAUUGUAAUCGUAGAAUCGAAUAAUAAAAUCAUAAAAUUUCAUGACUUAUUUAUAAUAGCAAAUUUAAAGAAAAAAAUGUAUUAACUUUUAGAUUAUUAGUAUUAUUUUAAUCUACACUUAUUACUAAAAAUUAAAAAACUAUCAAUAAAAAUAACACCUACAUUUUUUUGUUCUUAGACAAAUCGAGUGCGACGAAUGAACAUUUUUUUAUUUAUAACUAGAUUUAUAUGUAGGAUGUUGAUAGAAUAUAAAAUCGUAAAAUACAUAAAAAAUCAUUACUUUUACAAAAUUCUAAGAUUUAAAUCGAGAUUUUACGUUAUUCCACUAACCACCAAUUUUAAGUGAAAUCAUAAUCGUUCGACACUAAUAAAAUCAUAAAAUCGUGAAACCUUAAAAUCUAAAUCAUCCAUUUUCAAUACUCCCAUGCAUAUAGAUUACGAAUUUUGGACAUAACUUGUCAGAAAUUAUUCAUAUGAACUCAACUCAAACUUUUAUAAUUAUUGUAAUUAAUAAUAAAAACGACUACUAGCAAGCUAGUUCUGGCAAAUAGAGGAAUAGCCAGGACCACCGUAGAGGAAAUGAGUACCAAAAUUCUGAUCCCAAUCCUGCACUUGUGCGUCGUAACAAUUUUCAUCCGAAGCUGUUGUUUGAAUAAAGCGGACAUCCUGGAACGAUCCCUUGUCGUCCACAUAUUCUAAGUUCUUGAACCAGGCCGCCUUUCCGAAGCCUUCGCUCGGGAAAUGGCCGCUCCCCAUCUGAGUCCUUGUGUGAACCCCUUUCGGCUUCGUAUUGCUAACUUUACCUCCCCACAGCAUCACAUUUGCAGAUAUCUUCAUGCUCGGCAAUAGAUCUCCCGGCCAGUACCCUACAUCCGUUCCUUGGAUGUUUAGCCACCAGUUGCCCGUUUUAAAAUCCUGUGAUGAAUGAGUUUCAUGAAAAGAGUUCGCAUGCAUGCACAAUCUCGAUAUAUAUAAUUGGGAAUUUAAAUUUCUUACUUUGUGAAUUUUGAGGUUGAUAAAAAAUUGUUGGCCGCCAUAGAUGGAAACUGGGUUUAGUUGAGAACCGAGGACAAUGGUAGAACUUGUUUGAACAAAACCAGGACAGUCUAGAUUGUAGCAUCCAGAUACUUCGGUUGCAUCCCUCUAUAGAAGAGAUCCAUAUAUAUAACUAAUUAAUAAUAUAAUUGUGCACACCUAGCUAGCUACAACCAUAUAUUCUUAUUACAUAUGCACUUACGGUCCAAUAUGCGAAGAUGGUGGGUUUUGGCUUCAAUGGCGUUACCUGAUAUUUAUUAUUAUUAUUAUUUGAACGACCAAAAAAAUUAUUAUUAUUACUAUUAAUUGAACGACCAAAAAAUAAAGUUGUUUCAUUACUAAUAAUUACCAUCCAACCAGCUUGAAACGACUGCACUUUGAAGCCGUCACCACCGAACAUCCAAACUUGGGAUGAGCUCAUUUCGUUUGGUUGUGUUUGUGGGCUCCAUACGCUCAUAUCCAUAUUGAGUCCAUAGUAAUCAUACGACGACGACGACACUCCCGCCACCUGUAAUCAAUCCAACAGUAAUUUCACUUUCAGUAUAUUCACAUAUUUAAAUCUCAAUCAAUCUUCUAACGCUACAUGUACCUCAAUGUCCUUAAAUGCCCAAGUCGUCGUUGACGAUCUCAACAUUGCUAUUGUUCCCUUGGGGCAAUAUUCACCAUUCUUAUGCCACAUUUGAAUAUAUUUUGUUGAGUUAACCACAACUUUGGAUCUCGAUCCCCUCAGGUAUGAACUUGGUUUCAACUAAACAACUCCAAAAAAAAACAACUCAUAACUGUAUUUUAUUUGAAAUUACACAAACACAAAUAUGCAACUUUGUUGAAGCUCACCUGAAGAGUGUGAUUUUUCAAGAGCGGAUUGUUGAAAGCGGGUUGUUUAUAGAUGUCCACACAAUCAAUAAUUUCGUCUCCGCUCUGUUACAAAUACAUGCCACAAUUAAGCACAAACCACCCAUAAAAACAGUAUAUGAUAACAAUAGUAUUGUAAGAAUUGGUCAUCGCCAAUGCAAAGACAAUCGAACGUCUAACCUAUUCACUCCCAGAACAAUAACAAUUGCAAUUUAUACGAGAAAAUUGGAGGAUAAACAGUCAAAGGAAAAAUGGCAAUUUCGUAAAUUUUGAUUUAAAUGAUUACCUUUCUUAUAUUAGACGUUAAUUGUUUAUAGGCAAAUAAGGUAUUUUUCUUCAAGUAAAUUGAACUAAGGAAAUUUAUUUAAUGAUUUUUCUAUUUCAUUUACCAAUCUCCAAUUAUGAUUGUGCAUGAAUCUUAAAUUAAUUGGUAAUUAAAUAUUUAUGGUAAUUUUUUUGACGCGUCAAUCAUUAUUUUAUUUUUAUUAAUCACCUGUCAAAGAAUAAGUAAGAUGUAAUAUUAAAAUGGGCCAGACAUGAGGUACGACACCCACAAAUAGGGUCGUAUAGGUCAGGAAUUGUCUCACUAACGUACAAGCAAUCUCAUUCCUUAGGGCGGCUGAGCCUAAUGGUUACCUGGUUGAGUGGGCUGACAACACUGAUAGAGCAUGGAAGGAUGAGGACUGAUCCCGACUGAUGCCAUUUCAGUCUUUGAUUUGACGUAUCGAUGACGUGAUCGAUGUCGAUUCGCGAUACAUGUACUAGUAUCGACGCCACAGCCACCCGUGCAUCCUCAGGGCGCUCCUUACUGGUGCCCUCGCGCCUACAUAUAUGGUAAUUAUGUUUGGUAUUACUUUCGGUUAGGGUUCACACCCGUAUGUACAUGAUAGUUGACUUGUUUCCUUUUCCUCUGUACAACCAGCUUACAGGGUAUUGGACCAUAUGCAUCCAUACCUUGUACGAUUCCGAUGAGGCAGGAGUACGAUUCCAAUGCUGAGUAUCUGGAGGCGAUCGAGGAGCUCCGAGCAGUGUUGCAUAUAUGUAUGUGGACUUCCGCCACCAGAGACCGUAUCGUUAGACGUGUGACUGUAUUAUGUUCAUGUUUUUAUCCAUAUUAUGUAUUGAGACUUGUGUAUUUAUAUUUGUUGGUAUUUGCUGUGUUGGACGAGACCAUGUGUGCUUUGAGAUUAUGUAUGAGAACAACAUUAUUUAUUUAGCACAUCCACGAACAAUCACGAUUAUUUACGUACUUAGUAAAUUAUUCAAGUACUGUCACGAUUAUUACAUGAACUAUCGAUACAGGUGUACAAUUAUGUUUGAGGUAGCACCAAUAACUCGUACGUUGAAUAUUUUCGACGGUACAGUGUGCCCAGCCAAGCCGCUUCUGCACUGUCAUCUGCCCAAUCACUGAUGAUCAUUUCUUCCCACUCCUUGAAGAACUCUGCAGCUGUUUGUGCAUACAACACUUUAUUCAACCUACCAUGCACAAAAGCCUCAGCCAUUUCUGCAUUAGUCGUUAUGUACUUAACCUUCGCCUCGAUAUUCCUCUUCAUGUGCCAAAUGCACAGUAAAUGGGGAGUCUUUGGGAAUACGGUACGGAGUGCCGCAACCAGACCUCGUUCCUUAUCUGUCACAAAUACAGUAGGUUCUCGCCUACCCAACAUUAAAGUCAGACAUUCCAACACCCAAAUACAAGACUCUUGUUUUUUCAUUCUCAACAAAAGCGAACCCGAUGCUAAAGUUCUUCCGCACUGGAGUCACACAAACCAACUGGAUCACUGGCUUCCUAUAAGCGUUGGUGUUGAAAGUCGAGUCAAUCAUAAUCACAAAAUACCAUGAGCUAACCAUCUGGACACAUUCGGGGUGGCUAAGAAACAGAUGAACAAGAUUGUCAUCAUCAUCCUGCAAGUACUGAACGAAUAACCUAGUUAUGUAGUCUCACGCAAAGUCCACUCCAUCGUAUCCAAACCAUAUAAUUUCUCCUUCCUAAUCUUAUAUGAUUCGUUGUAAAUUUGAUUCAUAUUUUGACGAGUGUUGAACUUUUUGUUCAAAGAAUACCUGCUCUUAUUCGGUUGUGUGAACCGCCACCAUAUUCCGAAUAUCUAUUUUCGCCUCCUCUGAUAACGGAUUGCUUUCUGAGCUAAUUUCAGUAAAAUGAAUCAGAGGAUGAUUGUGGUACCCCUUUGACUUAUCAGGAUCCUUUAUGUCUUCAAGGCCGUCAAUAAAAAAACUUCCACUCGCAAUCUACCACCCUUGAUCACAUGACAAGUUUGAAUGGGCAAUUGCACUUUUUUGACUUCGUCGCUCGUUUCGGCGGAUAUGGACCCUCAGACUUGUGAACGGGUCCGCGUGAAAAAUACAGAUACACCCGACACUCCUUUUUCGAGUCAUUGCUUUUGUUGGACCCCUUGAUCUGAUGGAAAUUAAGCGUCGCAGCAAUCUGUUUCGCUGCUUGCGCCGCUUCACCGAUACUGUCGUACACAUCGUCGGACAAGAACCAGUCGGAGUAAUCAAUUCCGUCACCGGCAUCAACUUCCUACAAAAUAUCAACAUCGAAAUACAAACUACAUUAAUCAUUUACCUACAUAUAAUAUAUUCGUUGAUCAUUAAAAAAAAACUGGCCGAACACUACGUAGUACUCGUUGACAUAUCCCGUGCAUCCAACCGAUACUUCAAGUAUCCAAAUCCAAAACCCUAAACCAACAUAAAAGAAAAUAAAUUAAUAAGUUUAAUUAAAUUAAAAAAAAACCAGACAGAACGCCGGUCCGUCCGCGCUAAUCGAUUUCCGUCCGGGUGGUCUGACCGGAUGAAACGUCGGUCCGUCCAAAUUUAUUUUUUCAGUUCGAAAUUAAAUUUGGUACCUUCCAAAUUUUGAUUCGGUGAUUCGCCGGGAGUGUUUUCGAAUAACUAAAACAUACUAAAAAGGAUUUUUUAGAUUAAAAUUGUAAGUUUUAAUUUUUUACAAAAUAAACAUUUUAAUUAUUAUAAAAUGUAGAGUGUGUUUUGAUUCGAAAAUCAAGGCGUGGUUUAGUAAACCUCGUGUAAAACCUUGGUAUUCAUAUGUUCUCAUAUGAGAACACUAAUCACUGUUUCUCGCCAUAGUUCCUCCAAACUCUCCGCUGCGCUCCUAUACGUGGAUUGUACAAUGAUCACGGAUAGCCUAACAAUAUCUGGACCGUUAGAUUUAUCACAAUAAAUCGUGCCCCUCACUUUCUCGUCGGGCUGACAGUACCUAGCUCUCCAUUUUUCUCUAUCUCCUUCGUUUCACUUCAUUUUUCCCUUUCUUCCCAAUACCGCGAUCGACCCCGAACAAUCGCCGGAGCAAUCCACGGCCGUCUCCGAUCGUUCUCUGAUAUGGUAUGUUGGAGCACGAAUCAUUCGUCUGUUCUGCUCGAUUUCAUAUCUGUUUCAACUCCGGAUCGUUCUCGUUUUUAGGUUAUUUUCUGCGUGUUUUAACGAUAAUGUUCUGCGAGGGCGUGAAUUUUGAUAGGCUGUGCGAACGCUAGAUCUAAAUUAGUGUGUUUUCUGCGUUCGUGUUUGGCUAAGGAGGAAAGCUUAGACAUUGAGAUUGACGAAGGGAAUAAUGUGGAUUUCGAUUCUAAUUUGUUUUCCAUAUAGGAUUGGGCUUCAGUUAUUUGAAUUUAGAUUAAGAUAAUAAGAUUAGAUUUUCCCCCAAGAUGUAGUUUUUUGCUCGGGUAAUCAUUUAAGGUAUUGAGAAUUUUGCAAUGGUUUGAUAGCUUAUAGUGUAGUGUACUAAUCCACUGUUCUUGCCUGAGAUCAUUGGAUUCCAAAUAAUCAAUUGCCAUUGCCUAGCUGAUAGUAGAUGCUUCCUUUCUGUUUUGAUUUUCGAGAAUCUUGUUUCGGAACUGUCUGCCUCCUUGUAUAUGUCUCCGAAAUGCCGGCUCUUUUGUUGAUUGAUCAUCUUGCUGACUUGUAGCUCUAAUUGUCUGUAGUAUUCACUUUUCCGGGACUCUGGAGCUGUUUUAUGCCCAGAGCUCUGAAAUAAGAGUAGGAACAAGCAUCUUUUAAGCUAUGAUUUAACUAUCGUUUUCACAGGCACCCAUUAGGGGCAUCUUUGCCAUGCAAAGUGCAGCUUUGGUUCGGCGUCAUGCUGACAAAUUGGGUGUAGGAUUUAGAUCGUUGAGCACCCAAGCUGCGAGCAAUUCUGGGGCUCCACAGCCACCACCACCACCACCACCUCCUGAGAAGACUCAUUUUGGUGGCCUGAGUGAUGAGGAUCGGAUAUUCACUAACUUGUAUGGACUGCACGAUCCAUUUCUUAAGGGUGCAAUGAAAAGGGGUGAUUGGUAUAGAACCAAGGACUUGGUUCUGAAAGGUACUGAUUGGAUUGUGAAUGAAGUGAAGAAGUCUGGUCUCCGAGGACGUGGUGGAGCUGGUUUUCCCUCGGGACUCAAAUGGUCAUUCAUGCCUAAGGUUUCAGAUGGUCGUCCUUCCUAUCUUGUGGUCAAUGCUGAUGAAAGUGAACCCGGUACUUGCAAAGACAGAGAAAUCAUGCGUCACGAUCCCCACAAGCUGUUGGAAGGCUGCUUGAUUGCUGGGGUAGGAAUGCGAGCUAGUGCUGCGUAUAUCUACAUUAGGGGUGAGUACGUCAAUGAACGGAAUAACCUUGAGAUAGCAAGGAAAGAAGCUUACGCAGCUGGGCUUCUAGGCAAGAAUGCCUGUGGAUCCGGCUACGAUUUUGAUGUUCAUAUCCACUAUGGUGCUGGUGCUUACAUUUGCGGGGAAGAGACUGCACUUUUGGAAAGCCUUGAAGGAAAGCAAGGCAAGCCAAGGUUGAAGCCUCCUUUCCCUGCCAAUGCUGGAUUGUACGGCUGGUCCACAACAGUCACAAAUGGGGGAAAAGUUGCUGUAUAUCCCACCAUAUUCCCAGGAGGUUCUUCAGUCCCGUUACUGCCCAAAAACAUAUGCGACGAUGUACUGAUGGACUAUGAUGCACUUAAGGCCGUCACAUCAGGAUUGGGAACCGCAGCUGUGAUCGUGAUGGACAAAUCGACCGAUAUCGUCGAUGCGAUCGCGAGGUUGUCUUACUUCUACAAGCACGAGAGCUGCGGGCAGUGCACUCCGUGCAGAGAGGGCACCCCCUGGCUGUGGAUGAUGAUGGAAAGAUUGAAGGUCGGAAAUGCUAAGUUGGAAGAGAUCGAUAUGCUUCAGGAGCUCACCAAGCAGAUUGAAGGGCAUACGAUUUGUGCUCUUGGUGAUGCCGCAGCUUGGCCUGUACAGGGUCUUAUUAGACAUUUCAGGCCAGAGCUUGAGAGAAGGAUCAGGGAGCGUGCCGACAGGGAGUUGUUGGAGGCUGCUGCGUAAACUUUUUUAACUGCUGCUUAAACUUCUUUAAAGGUUUGUUCCUGCACCUGUACUUAUUGCUUUACUUGUCUGAUGGAUGGCGCUUAAUGUUGCAAUAAACAUGGUUUGGGUUCGUGAGAACCUUCAUUUCGAAACUAGAACAUCCAGGAUCAAAAUGUUAGAUUCCUCCCCUUAGUAGGAAUCUGAUAGAACAAAACACUAAGUAGGUGGUUUUCAGAACCAUAGAUGAGCCGAACUGUCGAGACUAAUGGUACGUGGCUCGGUUUUUAAACUGUUAGUAAACCAGGGAUGUACCCUGAUCGGGGCGAACUGGAUUUAUUACUGGUACAUGGCUGAACUGGUUGAAUUGUCCGGUAUGGUAUGGUUUGGUUUUGAAAAAACUCUAAGCAGUAGAUGCUUGAUACUGGUGUUUUUUACUUGAGAUGAGAGUCCCUCCUAAGUAGCAGUAAUACUAAUAAUAACUAAGUGGCAUGGUUUUCCAAACCGUAUCAAUUGUGUAUACUGUUAUACCUGUGGAUGAACCGUGGUUAACCAUAAUUGUACCGGUGAAACCAUCCGACAUCGUUGAUUUUGGUCAACCAAAACUGACAAUUCUCUGUUGGUUCUUGGAGAUCCCUGCAGUCUGCCACACUAUUAACUGAUCGAUUCGUUUUGAUCAACCGAACUGAUUCCCAGCAAGUAGAUUCAUAUCUCGGUUGACUGGGUACAGGGUGGUGCUUUGAUUGUUAGAGCAGUAACCUGUGUCUUAUGUAGUGCAGGAAACUCGUUGCUUACAGAAGGUGCUGAAGAUUGUGGAAUAAACACAGCAAAGCUACAUUGUUAGUUUCAAGCAGUCUCUCUCAUUAGUAAUUUCUCCCCUGCCUUCCUUUCCAGAGCUGCUGUACUAAUACUAUAACUUGCAUAUUUUACUUGUAUGGCAAAGAGGGGGAUGAUGAUGAUGAUAUUUAUCUUGUUUCUUCAUUCUGUUUGAGACUCGACUUUUGGAAGGAUUCUUGAAGUUGUCUAAAUAAGAUCCUGUAAUCGAGAUUUUACGACGAUUUUGAACUCGUAGUCAUCUAGUUCUGACUAGGAUAAUUCUUGAGUGGCCUGCUCCCAAAGGCCAGUAGGUCCAAACACUCAGUCUAGUGUCUUUUCUUGGAUGCACGAACUAGAUAGGUAGGUGGAACAAUUCUGGUAUUGUGUAAUGAAUCAUAAAUUUGAUUAAUGGGUGAAAAGUGGAAUUUGAUUGUGUGGCUUAGAGAUGGAGGACGAUACCGGCGAUUUUGACUAAUAACUCCAUCUGGAAUUUUGAAGAUUUGGUAAGGCUAGUCAAAUAUUUAAUCACCAUAAUGAGGGUGGUUUGAUAUGCUGACUAAUUAAUAAACAAAGAUUGAGAUAGACGAACCUCUAGCCAACUAACCACGUCAGCAACAACACAAAGAGUAUUUUUUAAUUAAAUGGUUUGGUUGCUUCUAAUUAUUGGACUAUUUAAGUCCCACUAAUCUCACCCUUACAUUUAAUUAUUCCCUAAUGUAGUUACAAUCGGACCGGCUUGGUUGGUUCAACCACUUAAAUGGUCACUCAGUCGUUUCCAUUCAGUUUAAAGGUAUAUAAAAUCAUCGGAACUAGUUGAAUCGAAUCGUAAAUUCGAUGAAAAGCCGAAUAACUUAACCAAUUUUCUUAACAACUUAAUUGCAAUUAAACCUCUAAACCCUUGCUCUCUUGUCCGGUUCGGUUCAUUUUGGUUCGAGUUGCACAGUCAUUAAUAUAUAAUUCUUAUUCCUCCUCCUACUACCAUCAGCCAAUCAUCCUCCGCCACGUCAACCUUCCUUUUAUAUAGGCCAGCUGGCUCUUCCAUCUCCAUCACAUUAUCACACACAUCAACGAGCUCAUCUUCUUCUUCUUCGUCGGCGCUCUUUGUCCGAUUUCUCAACCUCACACAAACCAAGGGUCUGUGGAAUAUUUUCCUCUUCCUUCUUCACCAUCGAUCGGCGUUCUUUGUCCGAUUUAGCUCAAUUCCGAUGGCGCGAGGCCUCUCCUUCAGCCUCCACAACGACGGCUAUAACGAUUGCGGCGGAGGCGGAUGUAUGUCCUCCUCCGCCGACGGCGGCUGGCGAGCGAAGCUGAUGAGAAGAGAGAAGAAAUCGUAUUAUUCUCCAUCUUCUUCUUCUUCUUCUUCUGCAUCAUCGUCCCCGUCGUCGCCGCAGUAUCUCCGUACGCUGAAAUUCGGCCGCGGAUCGAGUGAGAUCGUCGGAGAUGUGUUCUACGGGACGGACGACGCGGCGGGGAUAGAUGAGUACAGGUACAAGGAGGAUGUUCUGGAGCAUUACAGGAAGGAGAAGGAGAUGAAGUCGGUGAGGAGGCAGAAGGAGAGGAGGCAAGGGAGCUGGUACGGCGCCGUUGUUGACUGGUUUAGGAGCAUCUUGUGCUGUUUCGGAUGAUGAUAAUAGGGGGGAUGAACAAGAAUGAUGGAUGAUUGUCAAGUCAAUCACAUUUCCCCCUCCUUGGUGUUUAUGUAAAUAUCUCAAUGCUCUCUCAUUCUCUCUUUUUAGCUGUUCGAGUAAUAAGGAUAAUCAAAAUGUUCAUCCAUAAGCUUGUUUCUGUUUUGUUGAUCUAAUGCCUGAAUUGCUCUGGAAUUUGGUCCGAUUAUCAUCCUUUCAAGUCUACCAUUCGAAGUAACAACUCCGGUGAUGCGAUCGAAUUCGAAUUAAGGCCAGGAGCACAUGAUCGAUAGAAGGAACCCGGAAGAUGCUCCGGCAUCACUAACUUGCCAGCAUUGCUGCUGUCGACUUGUGUCUGAUUAAGGCCAACCGCCCAUCUGUCGAAAUUCGAUAAAAUUCGCUCCACCAUAAUGUUCGAAUUAGGCAACAUUGUUUGUCAAAGUUGUGGCAUUUCAUCUCAAUAACUCGAGAGAUCGGGUUUUGGAAGAACCUCGAGGAAGGUGGUCCUGACUAGUUAGUACGUUGAGGUAUCGGCGAUUAACGAAAAUUUGCAAGAUCGAUUGAUUCGCUAUAAUAUACGAAUUUGAUUAGGCAGUGACUUCCGUUCCAUCGCAAUAACUCGAGGUUGAAUUUUUGGAGGAACACAUCAUGACUUGCCAAACUAGCGCUAUUGCAAAUAUUAAGGCAAUCUACGCCACUCAAACACCUUCCGUAUUGCUUUGGACAUAUUAUCUAUGUGUAGCUUGAGCAAGUGUAAGUAGUUGGCUUCUCUCAUAGCCACAAGCCAUUUGUCUAGAGUUUGUUAAACGUUAUUGUCAACUUGUAUUUGGGUGCAUAAGGGUCUCAAGUCAAAAGAAC